RNAcentral lists this long non-coding RNA (87441 nucleotides) under Daucus carota (carrot). Its description in RNAcentral is "long non-coding RNA (DCAR_LNC000065)". The stretch from base 13543 to 13622 matches the Rfam family "mir-156 microRNA precursor family". Lineage: Eukaryota; Viridiplantae; Streptophyta; Magnoliopsida; Apiales; Apiaceae. The record is from RNAcentral.
AGGUAGAUUAACUUCUGUGCCAUUUAUGAAUUACUAUAAUCAAGCUGCAUUCUAGUUUGCUCCGGAGUUCAUACAUUGCUACUCCUAGAACAAAGCUACGUGAAAUAUAGUAAUCAAUCUACAUUGAACAGGUUACUGUCAAGCAUUUCCUCGGUCCAAUUUGGAAUAUGCUAACCGGGUAGAUAAUAAAGCUGCGUUCUAGGUCUCCAGACAUUGCUAAACUAGAAAAAAGCUACAUGAAAACGAUAUAAUAAUGAACUCAUGAGCAGGUUACUGACGAGCAGUUUCCUCUGCCCAUUUUGGAAUAUGCUGAUUAUGCAGAUAAUCAAAAAAUAUUCUAGAUUGCUCCAGAAAUUGCUAAACUAGGAAAAAUGUACAUGAGAACUUUAUAGUAAUCAAUCCAACUCAUGAGCAGUUAGGAUCUAUGUUACCCGGACUCUCCAUUUUUGUGCCUAUACCCGUGUCCACCGGACAUGACAUGGGUGUGGGUAUGGGAUCUGUGUCGGAUCCUUCUUAUUACAACCGGACACCUCACCUUGUAACAUCCCAUGUCAAAAUGAAAACUUAGGUCUUGUUCCAACUUGUUUAUAGAGAUCAAGAUCCAUGAAUGACUUGUUUCUAUGUUGUUCUAUUGAUUUUAUGCUUCAAUUUUCAGCAUAUGUGAUUUAUGUGCAAUAGACACUAUUUUUAUGAAUGUACCAUAAAUCAGGCUAUAUUAAGUUUGACUUGCAUGGAGCUUAAGUGCCAAGUCCCCGUACCCGAGUCUAAUUCCGGAUCCACAUCCACGAAUCCUAAUUAUCCUAAAACUACGAAUCUGACUCUUGGAUCUGUACCCGUGUCCGAUACCCAUACCCGUGUCCGGGUAACUUAGGUUAGGAUACUGAAAGCAGCUUCUCAGCGCAUCCCCCCACCCCUCCCAAAUAUUAUGUUCUUUAUUAUCUCAAAAUGUUCUUGUCCUGUAAUUUUUUAAUUUGGUCGCAUGCAACAUACAGAAACCCAAAGCUAAAAUCUUCUUUACCGUAAGCAUAGAUGCCUCUCAAAAGAUUCUCCUGCAAUCCCAUAGCAUCAAAACUGUCAUAAACCUCAUCAUAGGAUGUAAAGAAAUCUUCUCCCUCAGCACCAAGUCUGCCCCAAUAAAUUCAUAGAGAAAAUUUAAAAAAAAGUUUUCAGCAAAAAAGCAAGAAAAUACAGGGCGAUUUAUUAGAGAAAUGGAAACCAAUCAACAUAUUUGUAUGAUGGAAUAACCAUAUACUGAAGCACAGAUCACUUACAACUCGGUCAUUUUUGCGUCAAAUUGACGUGCAUCAAAUUGAGAACCUUCUGGUGCAGCUCCAGCCAUGACUGUUAGGAGUACAAGAUACAAAGUUUGCAUGAGGAAGAAAUGAAGAGUCAAACUAAUUAAGUAAAUAAUAAACUCAUGUGCUCAACUAUAAAAUAUGUGACUUAAUGAAGGUUUAAGAACAAUUGUGAUUCAAAUAAAAAAAUACACACAUAUUACAUAUAUAUUGAUGGCAAACUGAAAAAAUGUGGAAAAUUAUUCCAUUGCAAAGUAUAAAAGAACCUAGUAGCCCCCUGACAUAAUGCUUUACUAUGAGCUGAUAAUUUCAGAAAAAGAAAUUACAUAACAUAAAUAGUUCAAACAAAAUUUCACAACUACAGAAGUAGAAGAAACGAACUUCAAAUAUUGUUGCUCAGUGGGUUGAUUCAUUACGUUUUCAUGAUAGGAAAUAUUAAUGAGUCGAGUAAUGUUAAUUUGAUAGCCUAAAUCAUAUAUAAACUAGAAACAAUAGAUGCGAGAUAUAGAAUAAUAGAUUAUUAAUAUAUUACUUAGUUCAACUCACUAUAUUUCUGUGUUCCACAAAAAUGACCAAGGCAGAAAAACAGUUAAUUAAAAUAAGAAAGGGCCACUCUAAUUUUUUUCAUAGUGGCAAAUUUUUAGUUGUUCACUAAAAGUUAACGCUGGAAGGUUUUUAUUUAUAAUUUGCACAGUAUAUGCUAUCACUGCGUAUGUAUAUGCCUAGCUCAAACUUAGGCCAAGCCCAAUAUAGUAUCUACCUCUAAUAACUAAUACUGAAACAUUGGGAUACAAACACACCCAAACAGAAAUACCUUAUUUUGCAAAAAAAAUGGAUGCUUAACAGAAUAUCUAUAAAUUAUUAUAAUUGAUUCAACAGAAAAUAUAUUACGCCUUGCCUAAAUCAGUUGUUCAGCAAUACUCCAUUUUUCUUGACAUUAAUAAAAAGUAGUAGACGCAAGUUUUGUGUGCCAAAUGAAUGUGUAUAAAUAUCUGUUUUUAAGCAUCAUCUGCUACUCCACCAAUUGCAUUACAGCCCCUAUUCUACAACAUACCCAUAUUUAUACAGAAAAUGACAAAAUUACAAAGCCAUAAAUUCCGUAUACUUGUCAGCUACACUAAGUUUAAAGCACAAAUAAAAGAUCCCUCUUUACAGCAUAACCAAUGGAGGCAUCUGGAUUGCCAAAACCGAAAUUCAAUUUUUUCUAAUAUAUCUCUCAUCAUACAAAACCAUUACAAACAUUAACUGUAAAACGGUCUUUUUAUACCCCUAACCUAUAGGGGGGCAUAACAUGCUUGAAUUGCUUACAUGUGAAGCAUUUAGACAAAGUAAUGACAAACACAAUCCAGUCCAAACCCUUCCCUACUCAGUCUACACAUACACAUUACCAAUCAGCUUCUUCAACCUAUAAACCGACUUCUCAUUCCCCCAAAAACAAAACACAACCCUCAAACUUAUUAAGCUAAAAAUCUUCCCUUCAUCAAACAAACCCAAUCACACAUUCACAAGAACUUCAAUCCAAACAAACCCACAUCAAAUAAAUCAACUUUAUGCAAACCCAACUACAACUCAAGCCUUGACAACAGCAAAAACACAUAAAAAUCGAAACUUUAACUCAAUCAAUUAAGAAAGCUAAACAAAACUAAAACCCCAUCUCAAAAAAACAAAAAGAUACAAUAUAAAGCAAGCCCAUCAAUCCAUACACACAUAUAAACAUACCCAUGUAUUGAAUUAAAGAUAGAUUGAAAAUUUUAUAUGGAAAAUAAUAAAGAAUAGCUUACUUGUUGAAGAUGAGUUGAAGAGUGAAGUGGGUUCUUGAAAAGUACGAUUAGGGUUUUCUCAAACUCCUUAGAUCUACGCCGCAGGAGUUGAGAAUUUUGCAAAGAGAUAGAAAGUAGUGUGAAAAGUGUUGUUUUGUAUACAAAACCUCGGAGUUGAACGGCGCCGUUUGAUUUUAUUGCUCAAUAUUGCUACGGUUUUCUUUUCUUUAACUAAUAAAAUAACAGAUAAAUACUUCUGAGUUCAUAAAAGAAUAAAAUAAAUUUCAAACUAAUAAUUUAUUUAUAUGAAAACAGUUUGAGACUUUGAGUGGCUGUCAAAUCGAAUAUGAACAGAUUUUGAGCAAAUUCAAUCCAGUCUGUCGGUCUUAUAAUCGAAAACAAGAACUAAAUAUUUAGGAAAGUAAAUUGGGUGUUUGGCAACACUUAUUAUAAGUGUUUUCGGGCUUUUUUAGCACUUUAAGUUGUUUAAGUGUUUUCAGGCUUUUUUAGCACUUUAAGUUGUUUCUGCUUUUUAGGUAGUGUUUGGCAAAGUUGGAUUUUGAAGUCAAAAACUGGAAGUUAGAAAUGCUAGCUUUUUUGGACUUUUUUUAGUAAUUUGCAUUUUUUAUGAAAUUUUUAAAAUUUUAAUAUGUAAUAAACUUUAUUUAUUAUAGAAGUUUAUUUUAAUAAUUUGAAAUUACCAAACACACAAUUUGUUGGAUUUCGGGGCAAUAAAACGCAGCGAAAAGUAACGUAAAAUCAAAAAUUUCCGAAACCCUAAUCGCAGAAUCCAUCUAUAAUGCAUGGCUGAUUAUGGAGAUACGAAAUAAUACCUUAUUAAACCUUUAUGUUAGCGAAAGAUGGAGGUCCGGAAUAAGCAAUCACCACGCAGCCCUCGGUCUAAGGAUCGCGUCUCUAAACAGUCCCGCCUGAUCGCCUAAUGAUCACCGGAACCGGUACUAGCCGAAGUCAACCUCUCUUUCUAGCCUCUCCUGAUGCAGAGCUGCUGGGGUUUAUAAAACGAAUUUAUAACUCAUCAUCCUAAAACAAUACAUCAUUAUGUAUUUAUAGGGAAAGGAGAGAUGGGCCUAACCCUAAUCGGUUUUGGGCUUCUCCAAAUACAAUCCGAUUUAGGUUUUAAUAUUAAAUUCGAAAUCCUGAUUAUUUAAUUAAGACCGGCUCAACUAAACAAUUUAUUCCGAAUUUAAUCAUUUAAUUUAAAUUCGGAAUUUAAAUUAAAACUCCUUUAAACGUUUGAAGUGUGUGACCCUUUAGGUUAUUAUUACGUUGGCAAUAAUUUAAUAUCCCAUAAUAAAAUUAUAUACAAUGAGUGGCAUCUAGUAAUACAUCAUUGCUACCCAAGUAAUAAUAAUAAUUGGUGAUUCAAUUAAACCUUUUGUGAAUAAUGUACAAUGUAAUAUAAUCCUUUUAACCUUAUAUUAUAGAUCAAACUCGAGGCAUGCAUUGUGUCAUCCUCUUCAACGUUUAAUCCGAAUUUUCUUGAUCAAUGAGUGGAUUAUUAAACAAAUCAAUAUUUGAGCACGGCCAUGCAUUUCAUAGUCUCACUCAAUCAAGAGGCCAAUAAUAUCACUCCUAAAAUAGGAGGGUUAAAUCCUUUCUAGAUCAUUCAUAUUUCUCAUACGAUUCAUAAUAUACCCAAUGUACAUUUCAUCAUCACCCGGUCAAAGGUAACUUUUAGUGCAACCAAAGUAUAUUAAUUCUCAUAUAGAAAUAUAAUGAUAUCAAGUCAGAGGAUCAUUACAUCAUUAUCACAGUGAGAAUUUCUAAUGACACUUAUUAACAUGUAAAAUCUCACGGUGGGUCAUUCCAGUGCCAUGUGUUAAUACAUGCACUUGUGUUUUUGACUUUAGUAUCACCAUACUUAUGAUCAUUGAGAUGUGAUCAUCAGUCAACAAACACACUAGUCUCCAUGCAUUACUAUUGUCCCUUAAUAAUAAUGCUCGACUAGGGACCUUUAGAAAUAUCGAUACUAUUCUCAUAAUCUCAUUUCUAAGUCACGCACUUAGAGAUAUAGAAUUGCAUAUCAUAUUCCAAGGACAUUUAUUAUGCUAUAAAUUUAUCACGCAGUAAAUAAAGAACAUAAUAAAUAUCUAUUCAAUAAUCAAUAAAACAUAAUCCAUAAUAUGUUACAUUCAAACAUAAUAGCAUUGUUUCUAGGACACUAAUACUAACAUAAUUGACUUAUAAAUAAAAGUUACCCAGACACUUUUAAUAACUUAUAAGUCUAAUUCACUUAUCAUUUAUAUAAUCUAUUUCUUAUUUUAAGCAAUAAGUCACUUUUUUUUAAGUUGCGCCAAACGGCCCAAGUUUGAAAAUUGAACAGUUGAAUUGCAAGUUUUUAAUAUUGAAAAAUUAUACUAAUUUAAAUUAUUAAAUAUUACAUUUGGCAAAAGGAAGGUAUAGUCUUGCAACGAUUUUUAACUAUAUUAUUCUAUGCUCUGGAGAAGAAGAAAAACUCUAUAAUAGCAAGAAGAAGAACUCUUGUGAGAGACCUCAAACGAGUCUCAAACACCCCCUCGCUAAUCCUUCAAAGAUACUUUCACCUUUAUGCACUAAGUUAUAGUCGAUGAUCAAUCAUCAUUAAUCCACUUUUUAAGAAACUGAUCACAUUUAUAAUUAUAAAUUAAUUUUUGAUUUAUCAAAUUAAUCUCUGUUGCCUGUCUUCUUCCAUUAUGUCCAAAUCACAUUUUUUAUAAAACUGUUUACGAGUGAGACGUUUGUCCCGACUUUAAUCUCGGACUUAAAACUGCAUUCAACUUUAAACUAAAAUUUGGUGUAAUAAGUCAGAAGUCAGCUUAAAGUCAAAAAUAAGUCAGAAGCUAACUUAAAGCCAAGAAUUAGUUUGAAGUACUUUUUUUAGUGAAUUAAUUUUUCUGAACUUUUUUUUUAUAUAAAAAUUACACCCAAGUCAUAAGUUAUCCAAUAAUCAAUUUUAUUUUGAUUUUUAUAUUUUUAAUUAUCUUUAAGUUUUUAAUAAGUUAUAAUUACUCAAACAGACAUUUUAAACUCCCGACUUAUCACACAAGUCAUGUUAAGCCAUAAGUCAUAAACUCAGUCAAACGGACUCUAAGAGCAAGUGCAGUCAAACGGGCUAUAAGAGCAAGUUCAAGAGUGUCCUAAAUUGAUCACCUAAAUCAAAUUUUAGUUUUAAGGCAUUUGAAGCAAAUAAGUGCUCCAACCAUGACCUAAUGGUACCUUAAAACAGCGGGACAUCUAACAAGUACCUUAUUUUUCAGGCACCAAUGUGCAUGUCUUAAAUCAAUAAAAAAUAAUUUCCAUCUAUCUGAACACAUAUGUCUCCUCUCUUCUUUUCAGUUCCCUCCUAUAAUAAUUCAAAUAUAUCACUAGACACAAGAAUGACACAUAUGAUGGAGUUAAUAUACGAAGAUGAUGUCUUGAAUCACUGAAAUAUCAUUUUUUAUUACUCCCUCCGUCCCCCUAGUUGUAUACAUUGGGGGACGGGGACGCGGCACGGACUUUAAUGCUCCUGCAAAUUGUAGUUGUGCAAUUUAUUUUUAAAAUUUUUCUUUUCUGAAUUAAAGUUUAGAUAUUAUAUUUUUAUACAGAAAAAGAAAAUCUCAAAAAUAAGUUACGGAACUAUAUUUUAUAAGAGCAUUAAAAUGCGUGUCGAACAGUUAAAAAGAAACGUAUAGAAUUAAAUGGGACAGAGGGAGUAUAUUUUUAAAACACAGGACAUCGUUGGACUUAGGUGUCAGUUGUCACCAGCUAGCCUGCAACGUUUUCAAAUGUUGGGCUGAUAAUGGGUCAGACUGGACUUAAGCUGGAAGACUACGAGGCUGUGGAUUUGAUCCGGAGAUUAUGUGGGCUCACUAUGUUUACGAUAACCAAACAAUUCCAAUGUCCUUAAAUCAAAGUAUCCCAAAAAAAUUUCUUUUACACUAUUCUGACAAACGAGGCCCAAAUAAUGAUAUUCUCUGGGUCCGAUAAUGUAGGAGGUGGUCGGGUCUCAGGUCCGUUGGAUAAAAAAAUUAAAAUUCUACUAAACAUGAUUUCGAGGUUUUUGAGAUAAUGUUAGAGCUCACCAUGUUAAAUAAAGCGGUCAAUAUAAAAUAUCAUAUGCCUUACUCUAAAUUGUUUGAUUUUUCUUGAUCAAUUUUUAAAAAAAAUUUAUUCAUAUAUUAAUAAACUUAAAAAUGUGUAUAAUAUCAUCUUAUUAUUUUUUUUUGCAUAUUUUAAAUGAAUUAUUAUAUAUAUAUAUUGAGUUAACUUACAAAAUUUCUUAUUUUAGUUAAAAAGUUUAAAUAAAUUGAUCCUAAUGAGAUAAAGCCAAUAAUAGGAAUUUUUUAAAUUUAGUCUUACAUUAUUCUAUAUUUAUUGUAGUUUAUCCUUUCAUUAAAUUCAACAUAUCAUAUAUUUACAAGUCCGAUUUCUCUUUUUAGAACGUUAAUUUCUUUUUUACUGACUCGACUAUAUAAAAGAAAAUCAGGUCUUCUCAUGUUGAGCCAAAAAAAGACUAAGAAGUUUUCAAUAUAUAUAUAUACAAGAUAGAUAUACAAGAUGUUAUAAUAUCAUGUUAAACUUAUUUCGAGAUUUUUCACUCCACAUUUUUUUAUCGAUAUAUACCACUAGUAAUAUUGGAAUUUUCUAGGCCCAAAAAAAGAAAGCGAAGAUAGAUGGAAUAAUAGAAACAUGUGGACGGGCUGUAGACACCACCCCACAGUCUCAGUCUCACCCCAAGGAGCCAUGUGGAAGAUAGGGAGGGGACCUCCUUUCAUGUCUCAUAGUGGCCGAAAGCAUAACGACCGAUGGGAUAAGUUAUAGUAGUAAUAUUUGCAUGUUCGUCUGCGCAUACAAGAUAAGUGUGCGAUGAAUUAUUAUGAGAGGAUGAACAUGCAAAUAAAUGCCCGCAAUCAAAUACACUUUAUCUUCCUUGAUCAAUCAAUCCCAUUAGGGCUACCACCAAGUAAAGGAAGAUGCUGUUACGUUGCGUGACUUGCGUCCUUUCCAUCAUGUCAACAAAUUGAAACAUUCGUGUAAGGAAAGGAUGAUAUUUAGGCGUACUAUCUAGAAUUUAUGAGUCAAAAGUUUCGAUUUAUAAAAGAUAUGGAUUCUUAAAGACAAAAUUUAAAAAGUUGAGAAUUCAUACUUAUUUUCUAAUGAGUUAUUUUAUUUUUAAAAUUUGAUUUUACAUUCAUGCAAACAACCAUUUUAAAAUUUAAUUUAUAAUAAUUUAUUGUUAUAUUAAUAAUUUUUAGAGAAAUUUGGAAAAACAACCAUAUUUUUAAAUUUAUUUCAAAUAUACGGUCAGAAUUGCAUGUGAGGUUGCAACGCUCCUUAAAAACAGUUAAUUUUCAGGUUGCAACAGUUGCAAUUGAGGCACUGUAUUUUUGAAGAAAAAAAAAACUUUGCAACUUAGGUAUUUUAAAAAGACCUAAUUUUUAUAUCAAAUAAGUUUUAAAUAACAAAAAAAAUUAUCUAAACACAUAAAAUAAAAAUCACUUUUCACUUUUAAUGAACUUCUCAUUUAUAAUUAACAAACUAUUCUUUUUAAAUUACGAAAAAUAAUCCCCUAAUUUUCAUUUAUGAAAAUAAGUACUUAUUUUUAGAAUACAAAUCACUCUUACUGCAACUAAUUUUUCUCUUGAUUAAUCGAAAAUAAAGAUGGAUUUAAGUUUUGAUUUGUAUGAGUGAGAGUUGAACCUUGUUAAAUAAACCGGACAUUGAUCAAUUCCUUGCAAACAUCUAUUCAAAUUUUAAACUCUCUACAUUGAUCCUCUCUUAGUUAAUCAUUAAUCCCUGUUAACAACCUGUAAGGGGGCAGCUGGAAUCAUUAUGUGUGUAUAUGUAAGCAGCUCCCUCAUCUCCCACUCCAGAAAGGGAAGGUCCAAAACAUGACAAAGAGUUCCCCCACUUCCAUAAAGGGAAAUGUAUAUAGAUACUAGAUCCUCCAUAUAUUUACACCACUUGACCUUAUCAGAAACUGUUUACAAAAAACCAUUUAUAUAAAAUUAUUUUAUGGUUGGGAUUGAAAAAAUUUAUAUAAAAUUUUGGAGGAUUGAGACUGAUUUGGGGAUUUGUCUCUCCAUCCGAAUGUUCCGAAAUUUUAUGAAUUAUAUACAAUAUAAUUAUUAUAUUUAUAUAUUAAUAUUAUAUAUCAUUGAUGAAUAUAUAAUUUGAAUAAACAAAAUUAUUUCAUUGAUUAAAUUAGCUAAUAUUAUAAUGAUUUAUCUUGUAUUAUAUUAUAAAUAUAUAUAUAAUAUAAUUAUUAUAUUUAUAUAUUAAUAUUACAUGUCAGUGAUGAAUAUAUAAUACUUAUAAAUUUAGAUAAACAUAAUCAUUUCAUUGAUUAAAUUAGUUAAUAUUAUAAUGAAAAUAAAUUAUAACAAACCUCGUUUUAUCUUGUAUUAUACUAUAAAUAAAUAGUAAUUUAAAUUGAUGUUUAAAAUAUUAUAUAAAGUGGAGAAAUAUUAUAAAUUAUGACAUAUUAAGAUAAUUUUAAUUAAAAAAAUAUAUAAUUAAUAUUAUAAUAUUUUUUUUAAAAAAUUCUUGAAUCCCCGAUUCGUGUUAGACAUGGGGAUCAGAGAACUUGACAAGGUGAAAAACCGGCUAAGAGACAUGGGAAUCCUCCAUAUAACCCGCUCUAAUGAAAUUAUGUUUAAUUAUAAUCAUUUUUAUCGUAUCAUCCAACUAAUUAAUAAUUAAUAAAAUUGGAGAUAAAAAAUGGGUCUAACAUGCAGAAAUCUCCCAUUUAGCCGCUCUAGUUAUAAAUUAUUUUAUAAAUUUUCCAAAAUCAUUUCGUAAUACGUAAUCAUAUAUUUUUCUCAUAAUAUAAAUUGAUAAUCAAGUUUAUAUCUAAUUAUAAUCAUUCUCGUCAUAGCAUUGAUCAACUAAUUAAUAUUAAUGAAAUUCGGAUUCAUUCAUGUAUUAGAAAGACAUUGUAUAUUUCUCAAAUUUAUAGCAAUUGCCCUGGCCAACAAGUCAUUCGUGUAAGUUGUAACAAGUCAUUGUAUUAUUAGCUAAUGAUUUAACUUCUUUGAUUCCUCCAUAAUCACGAAUCCAAUUGCCUAGAAGCUGCUAUAUAGCUAGCCUGCUUUUGUGUAAAUCAAGAUUCUUAUAUCAACCAGCUGAUUGGCUUCAUAAUCAGUACUCACAUACAACUUAAAUACUUCGUGAUCAAAUCAUUAGCUUUGCAUUGCAUUGCGCAUGAUGAAAGGACUAACACUUUAUUCUUCACUUAAUUAUGAUUAAGUUCGAUUAGUUAUUCAUUAAGAUACUAUAAACACCUAGUUAGUCUGUACGAUUAGGGUGACUUACAUCAUCCAACUGACAAAUGUCAAUGAUUCGACCAAAUACGGUCGAAAUUAAAUUUUGGUCGAAAAUAGAGGUCGAAAAUACCCGGUUUUCUUGUAGUGCAUGCUUUAUUUUUAGUAUUUAUUUAUAAUUUAAAGCAUAUUUACUUUAAAUUACUUUUGAAAUUGAAGAUCCUCGCGUGGUCCUCUCACGAAUGUAUUUGUUUACCGUUUAUUGGCCAAGAUAAUAAAUUAUAAUAUUUGUAAAUAACUUUAUCUUUUUACAAAGAAAUUGGGCCUGCCAUUACAAUUUGUUGUUUAUUCAUGCUGUCUUGAAAUUCGCAUGCACCGUAUACACCACUAAAAAUUAAAUUAAUUAGCGAUGAUCUCCCUGGACAAUAAUUUCUAUAUUUAUUUUUAAUUGAUACGUGGAGAUAAAAUAUAUGGAAAAUAUAAAAUAGUCGGGAUGAAACUUAUUAAAAUGGAGAGAAAUCAUGAUUUAAUUAUUAAAAAACAUAAUUCUGGUCAAUUUUCGAAAAUAAUUUUCUAUUAAAGUUACAUGAAACAAGAAAUUCGAGAAAAAUUACUUUGGACUCUAACUAACUUGGUCUCUUUUCAAAUCCCAACUCAUCUGCCAUGCAAGUGGUAUAAAAAAGGUGGAUACAUCAAUUCAUGAGAGGGAAAUUUGGAAUGGAUUCGGUUUUGUUUUUUCAUGCAAUCAAAGUUGAAAGAUUAGUUUACUUCCUGGAAUGGUGCAACUGAAGUGGGGAAAAGGGAGAAUGUGCUCUACCUCACUAUGGACUACUUAAUCACUUGAUUAAUAAAUAAUAAGAUGAGGCUAUUCACGAACUUGAAAAAUCAAUCUUGUUCAAGUGAAUAUAUUCGUGCCAAAAGCUUUGAUCUGCAUUAUUGUAUCUAGCUUCAGGGAAGACGAAUACUUGCGACAGAAAAAUCUCUGGUGAGGAAGAACGGUGUCGAAUUAUGGGGAAUACGAAUGGUGUAUAGUAAAAUUGGAUUUUCUGGUGUGAUCAUGAACACAUACAAUAACCGAUUUUCAAUUAAGCAGUAAAUUUAUAUCAGUUUCAAUGUUAUAUGAGUGUGUGCCUGUGUUAAAUGACCACUUACUUUGCGUUCACGUCCAUAUUCAAAUAUGAGAUUAAUAUUGGGUAUCAGACAGAGUCGAGCUCGAAUCUCCCACCAAUCUAAGUCUUAAUAUCAUGUUAAGUGAUCAUUUCUCCCAGAAUCUCAACGUCGGGAAAGAAAUACCAUCCAAAUAAUAUUUUCAAAGAAAUGUUAAGAGUACUAGAGCUUAGAGCAAGUCCAACACUAUGCUAAGAGGUUCCCUAAAAAUAUUAUAAAAUAAUAUGUCUUAGUGAUUUAGCACAUGAGCUCCAAUAGUAUUCCCUAUAUCCAUUCCCUAUUAUUAUAAUAAUAUUAAAUAGUUGAGGAGAGAGGGAAAAAAGAGAAGGAAAUGAUGUGGAGGAGAGAGGGAAAUGAAUAUUUUAAUGUUAAAAAUAGUUUAGAAGUGGCUAGCAUAUUCUAAAAAUAGGGAAGGAGAUGCUUGUGCUAGUGAUUUAGCACAUCACUAGCAUAGUGUUGGAGUGCAAUUUUAUCCCAUAUUCCCUAUUUUUGGAUUUAAGACUUGAUUUAGCACACCUAUUGGACUUGCUCUUACUAGGAUCAUACAUAUUAUAUAUUAACAUGCCAGAUAUAUUAGAAAAGCUCUAAUUUAAUUACGAAGAUAUAUAGUGUGAAAGCAGUGCAUGAGAGCAAAUACAACGAUCUAGAAUAUGGGGCACAUACAGAUAUUCCAGAUUAGUGGGAAAGAUGAUAAAGGCUUAUCAUCGGGAUCCAACGGCUAGGGCUUCGGAAUAUUUUCUUGGAUCGCAAUAGUAAAUAUAUAUUCUUGCGGUUCUAGAAAAAGGGGAGUAGAUGCGGGAGAAUACGAAGUUGAUGAUGUGAAGUUCAAAUUUUGCUGUUCAUUCUGCUGCCCACGUCGUUGUUCCUCUGGAAACCAAUAAGCCAAAAACUAAUGAUUGUUUAGGGGGUUUGAGGUUGUGAUCGGCAUAUCAACAUAAUCGACUGAUCAUUGUUUAAUCGACAUCGAUUUUUUUCACUUUCAACUAACCGAACACAUCAAGACAUUACCCUAAUCCAAUCACAUGUCGAUGUAAAGCAUUUAGCAAGAGAUAGGUAUAUGAUACUAGUAUAUCUAUGCUAAUUCUUAUUUAUUUUCCUUUCGGUCUUAUUGGCGCUCUAAAGCCUAAAAUAAUUUUUAUAUAAAUUCCCUCUUAUUUUAAGCUACUGCAUCUGCAGAUCGAGUGGUUGGAAGCUGGUAAUGGAUGAGGAGGACUGCAUAUCUGCAUGAGUAAAAUUUAUUGACUUUCUUAUCAGAUUUAGAAUUACAAGAAGCAUCGAUAAGUACAAUGUAAUAAAUAACCUAUUUUGACAGUCAUCAAAUUAACGAACCUCUAACAAAUGGUUGUGGAAGCUUGAGAUCAAACGGAACUGAAAUUAAAAUGAUUAUUUGUUAAUUAUUUGAAAUCAGUCUGGUCUUAUAUAUAUGAAGAAAAACAUGAAUGCAAAUUUUCAAAAAAUAAAAAUAAAACAUGAAUGAAAUUACCAACAUUUCACUAAUUUUUGUGGUUUUGCUGGGGUUUUAGUCUAGGCUAUCCUCCUGCUUGUUAAUUUAGAAAUCUAUAUGAACUAUCUUGUUUUUAAUGAAUUAUAAACACCAACUCCAUGUAUAGCUUUAGCUAUGGUAGACACAUGAUCUACUGCAGGAGCCAUGAGGUUGACCACAUUAAUAAGUUAAUUAAGAUAUGAAAAAGUUGAGCAGAGGAGCAGAGCCCAUACAUAUUCAUUUAUUCCAUUCCACCUCUGGAUGCGUACGCGCAAGCCUCUCUCUCUGUUUCAUCUCCUAUNCCCUCUGGAUGCGUACGCGCAAGCCUCUCUCUCUGUUUCAUCUCCUAUAUAAAGCACAGCAUCCAUAGCAUUUCUUCUCACAGCAAUCAUAACUAGAGAUAGAUAUAGCUACAUAUAUGUAAUAGAAUAUGAAGGACACUGUCCCUCUUUGUAAGCACAUAGACAUUUAUAUAUAGGACUAGUUGCUUAUAUACUUGGGAAGUCGGAAGCAUUCCAGACUAGGGUUUCGUAUGCUGCAACAACUACAAGUUCUCUGUGUGCAUAAGGUGUUUAAGAGGGUAAGUUUGGGAGAUGACAGAAGAGAGUGAGCACACAUGGACUUUUUGCAUGUUCAUGCUUGAAUUUAUGCGUGCUCACCCUCUAUCUGUCAUCCCCACUCACUACUCUCUCUCUCUCUCUCUCUCUCCCCCUCUCCCUCCCUCCCUCUCUCUCUCUCUCCCCUCUCUCUCCCCCUCUCCCUCCCUCCCUCUCUCUCUCUCUCCCCUCUCUCUCCCCCUCCCUCCCUCUCGGGCAUGGUUUGGAGCCACUGCAAGGGAGAUGACAGAAGAGAGUGAGCACACAUAGUACUUUCUCGCAUGAUGGAUGCCAGAAGCUCUGCGUGCUCACCCUCUAUCUGUCAUCCCGGCUGUCGCCCUUAAUCUGAGUCUUCUCUAUGUGAUUAUCUAUUAGCUGUCCUUGACCUUUUUUUAUCAUCAUAUAGCAAAUGUAGUUCGUAUAUUGCUAAUUAUUAUUCGCAUGUUUAUAUAUAUAAGAAUUAAGAUUAUAUGCGAAAGUGUGAAGAAGUGAUCAGUUCUACAUACAAUCAAGCACAAACAUUCAUAAUUUAGUCCGAUUCCUUCUUAAUGUCUGUGUCCAAUUCCCUCAAACCAUGCUAUUCAUAGCCGUGCAUUCGCCUGUGUUUUUGAAAUGUUAGGUUUGAUCUCAGAAAACCUUUUGUAACCAUGAUUCUGAUUCUACACACACAGGUCAUUACACAGUCUGUUUUGCAGGUUAGUGAAUCUGAAGAAGAGAGCACGAAUUGGAGCCUUUGGGGCUGGUGAUUGGCUGUAGCCAAUUUACGAAGUUCAGCUUGUGCAAGAAGAAUCCCUAUAGAUGUAAAAGACCAGCUAGCUUGUUUGGUUUAUACAGUGUUGGUUUUGAAUAUAUAUAGUUUCCUUACAUGGGAACUUCUUGUAAUUGGAUGUAAGCUUGUUGAGCCAAUUAAGUUACUAUGAGUCUUAUGCAAAUUAGAAAUUUUUCUCAACAAUUACCUGACUCUGCUGGAGGUCCUUAAUUACAUCUGUUAUGCUGUUAUAGUGUUAUGUCUGUUUAGUUUAGUUUUUUUUUUUUUUUUUUUUAAAUUUAACACUUGCAAGUAAGAAGAACUGGCAUAAAUUGCACUGCAUGUAGGGAUAAUGAGAGAGUUAUGAACCUCCGUUGUAAGAGAUCGAAUUGUAGAAAUUCAUGAAGUCAACAAGCCUUCAGGACAUUUUAUGUAGUGAUAGAAAUACGACAUGGAUCUUGGAGGUUGUCAAGUUAAUACCCUUAAAUUUCUUUACCCAAAAUCUUUGGAAUCGGAGAAAAUAUUAUUACUAUAUAAAUAUAAAGGUUAUUUUCAAAUAGAAAUAAUUUUGUGAAGAUAGUGUUGGGAUGUACUUUUUUUACUCUCUCCGUCAAUGAAGGUUUUACACAUUUCACAUAUUACGAGCAUCUCCUAAAUAUUUUCAGAUAAUAAUUAACACGUGUUAUAAAUAUUUAGGGAUUGUACAGAGAAAAUCAAUUCUCUAAUUGACAUUCCUUUAUUUAUAAUUUAUAAUUUUAUUCCCGUGAUGGCUAUAUUUGCAGUAAGAAGGUUCGUAUCAUUUUUUUUUUGAAAAAGAAAAAUAAUUCAAUAAUGAAAAGCCAUACGGCAUCUACAGAUAUAAUCGAAAUUGAACAAACGCAGAAUCAUAUCGCCGUUGAAUCCUUCCUUCUUCGGUAGGCAACCAAGCGAUUUUUUGAAGAGAUAUAUACAUGCUGUAAUACUCUCAAUAUUGUUUUGAGCAAUCGACCAUAAAUGCAUCACCAUACAAACCUUUAUCAUUGAAUCAGCAUCAUGAAAAUCCCGCAGAUCUGUAAUCCCGGACAUGAUGAACACACAAAAUCCAAACAAAAAUCAAACUCUCACAGAAGGAGAGACCAAACAAAACCCAAAUAAAUUGGGAACUUAUUGAAGAAAAAGAGAUUAACUAAUAGUAAGAAAAGAAGACAAUAUUGGGGCUUUCCACCGGUGAAAUCCGAUGGAAGCCCCUCGGAUAAAAGAGACAGCGGCUACUUCAAGGUGAGAAAAAUUUAGGGUUUUGUGAGAAGAGGUUCGUAUCAUUUGUUAUCGUAUAUAUUUCGAGUUUGUAUAUCCUAUUUAUAAUAAAUUAAAUUUAAUAUAAUUUCAUACUAUUCUUCAAAUACGAUGAAAUUUAUCCGAUCCAAGAAGAUUUUCUUGUUCAUUCUUCACCUACUCAUUUAUUAUAUUAACUUCUUCUUUUUUUGAAACCAAACGAGUUUCAUUAAUUCAAAACCGGAUCAUACAUCAGCGCCUCCAGAAAAAACAUUCUGGAGAAGAUUGAAAAAUACUACUCCCUCUGUCCCAUUGGAUUGUAUACAGUUUCUUUUUUAGGACGUCCCAUCAAUUGUAUACAUACCAAAAAUAGUAAACUUUUAUAAUAUAAAAAACUUAACUACAUCCACUACCUUUUUCCACUACACCCACUUUAUACAUUAAAUAUUAGUAGGUCCCACCAUUUUACUAACACCACACUCAUUUCACACAUUAAAUAUUAAUGAGUCCCACCACUUUAUUCACUUUUCUUACUUUUCAUCAUCAAAUUACACUUUUUCUUAACCUCCGUGCCACUUCCCAUACGUAUACUAAUCAAUGGGACGGAGGGAGUAGCUAACAUAUGUGCUACCUCAUUGGCAUGCCUUUUAAUAAAAAAAAAUCGCAAAAUCAGACUACCAUCAAGUUUGGAACGAUAUUCAUCCAACACAUCUCCAGCUUGCUUCCAGAUUACACUCAGUUCACCUUUUUUAUUGCAUUCACAAUAAGCAGCGAAUCAGUCUCUAUAUCAGCACUGGACAUUUGCAAAGCCCGGAGCCAUUUGAUAGUUUCAAGUACACCCCGUGCCUCGGCUUCAAACACUGUAACCUCUCCUGUAAGGUGAAGAUUUUUUCGCUUGAAUAAAUUCACUAUGAUGAUUCCGAAUAACCAGUCCUAAAGAGAAAGAACAUGAUCCAGGCACCACACUUAUAUUAACUUAUAAGGAGGUUUCAUUCAAAUAUGAGGAGGUUUCAUUCAAAAUGAAAAACACAAGGGAUAAUUUGUAAUAUUGUUAAUAAUUAUGCAUCGAAAGAAGAAAAGGAUCAACUAAUUUGAAAUAAUUGGUUUUUUAUAAAAAAAUUCAUCUAAAUUAAAAUGAGAAGAGUAUUAUUAUAAAAAUUAUAACCACUUAUCAGGAACACGGGUCAAACUCAAUCUAUUAUUACAAAUACAUUUUUGUUAAUUAACCCUCAAGUUCACCAUUGUGAAUUGUUUUAAGAAAUUAACAUACAAAUCUUAAAUUUUUCAAAAUUUCAGUGGAGUUUAAUUGAACUCGCUUUAGCCCUAUGCUGAAUGCUCCUGCUAAAUUAGCAGUGUUAAUCGUAUGUUUUCAAGUGUUUUUCUUAGCCCCUUAUUUUUGGGCCAGGCAAACGACAGUUAUAUGGAUCUAAGGAGAUAAAGUUUAGGGCCGUUGAACGGACUUGUUUGAAAUUAUUCAAGGCUACAAGUCAGCCCAAUGUCAUGGAACUUAUAGUGAAUUUUUAGUUUUCUUUAAGGAAUGAAAUUUAAGUUUUAAAGUCUAACACGAUUGUAAAAUUGCAUUACCGAGAACAAUUUAGUUUUUGAAAAAUACCGCAAAACAAUUUAGUUGUGAAUAUCGUUUUGAGUUUUAAUAUUUUGAAAUUACUUAAAAUACAAAAUUAUUCAAACAUAUAUUAAACCAACAACCACCCUCGUCCAGUGUUAUUCCUCUCCGUUUUCUUUAUUAUGUUAAAAAGUUCGAAUAUCGUUUAUUUUUUAUUAUUAAAAUUAAUUAAAAGACUAAUGAUUGAUACUCUGUUAAGAGGUGUGCUAUAAAUUAAAACUAAAGAAUUUAAUCACGUAACGUCAAGUUUAUUAUUUGGCACAUCCACUUUAAAGUACCACAUCAAAAAGACGAUUUCUCUUUUCAAAAUAUUGGCGCAUUCCCUGGAGUGGACAGCGGGGAAUUGAUAAAAUUGACUCGCUUCCACUACCUUUUUCCACUACACCCACUUUAUACAUUAAAUAUUAGUAGGUCCCACCAUUUUACUAACACCACACUCAUUUCACACAUUAAAUAUUAAUGAGUCCCACCACUUUAUUCACUUUUCUUACUUUUCAUCAUCAAAUUACACUUUUUCUUAACCUCCGUGCCACUUCCCAUACGUAUACUAAUCAAUGGGACGGAGGGAGUAGCUAACAUAUGUGCUACCUCAUUGGCAUGCCUUUUAAUAAAAAAAAAUCGCAAAAUCAGACUACCAUCAAGUUUGGAACGAUAUUCAUCCAACACAUCUCCAGCUUGCUUCCAGAUUACACUCAGUUCACCUUUUUUAUUGCAUUCACAAUAAGCAGCGAAUCAGUCUCUAUAUCAGCACUGGACAUUUGCAAAGCCCGGAGCCAUUUGAUAGUUUCAAGUACACCCCGUGCCUCGGCUUCAAACACUGUAACCUCUCCUGUAAGGUGAAGAUUUUUUCGCUUGAAUAAAUUCACUAUGAUGAUUCCGAAUAACCAGUCCUAAAGAGAAAGAACAUGAUCCAGGCACCACACUUAUAUUAACUUAUAAGGAGGUUUCAUUCAAAUAUGAGGAGGUUUCAUUCAAAAUGAAAAACACAAGGGAUAAUUUGUAAUAUUGUUAAUAAUUAUGCAUCGAAAGAAGAAAAGGAUCAACUAAUUUGAAAUAAUUGGUUUUUUAUAAAAAAAUUCAUCUAAAUUAAAAUGAGAAGAGUAUUAUUAUAAAAAUUAUAACCACUUAUCAGGAACACGGGUCAAACUCAAUCUAUUAUUACAAAUACAUUUUUGUUAAUUAACCCUCAAGUUCACCAUUGUGAAUUGUUUUAAGAAAUUAACAUACAAAUCUUAAAUUUUUCAAAAUUUCAGUGGAGUUUAAUUGAACUCGCUUUAGCCCUAUGCUGAAUGCUCCUGCUAAAUUAGCAGUGUUAAUCGUAUGUUUUCAAGUGUUUUUCUUAGCCCCUUAUUUUUGGGCCAGGCAAACGACAGUUAUAUGGAUCUAAGGAGAUAAAGUUUAGGGCCGUUGAACGGACUUGUUUGAAAUUAUUCAAGGCUACAAGUCAGCCCAAUGUCAUGGAACUUAUAGUGAAUUUUUAGUUUUCUUUAAGGAAUGAAAUUUAAGUUUUAAAGUCUAACACGAUUGUAAAAUUGCAUUACCGAGAACAAUUUAGUUUUUGAAAAAUACCGCAAAACAAUUUAGUUGUGAAUAUCGUUUUGAGUUUUAAUAUUUUGAAAUUACUUAAAAUACAAAAUUAUUCAAACAUAUAUUAAACCAACAACCACCCUCGUCCAGUGUUAUUCCUCUCCGUUUUCUUUAUUAUGUUAAAAAGUUCGAAUAUCGUUUAUUUUUUAUUAUUAAAAUUAAUUAAAAGACUAAUGAUUGAUACUCUGUUAAGAGGUGUGCUAUAAAUUAAAACUAAAGAAUUUAAUCACGUAACGUCAAGUUUAUUAUUUGGCACAUCCACUUUAAAGUACCACAUCAAAAAGACGAUUUCUCUUUUCAAAAUAUUGGCGCAUUCCCUGGAGUGGACAGCGGGGAAUUGAUAAAAUUGACUCGCAGCAAAGCCGACUCAAAAGAGAAUAUGCAAGGCGCUAGUCGAUAUUAUGUUUUAUUUGCAGUUAACAAAAGAAAUAUUUUUUUUAUAAUUCUAAUAAUAAAUAUAAUUUUUAAUUAUAGCUGAGACGCGAGGAUAACACCAGAGCAAGAACAAAUUGGGACUUGAAGAAGUUUAAGAUAAAAGUGGAAAUUCAUUUUAAAAGAAAAAGAAGGUUCAUUUAACAUCUUUUCGUUAACUUUAUAUUUAUAUUAUGGAUAUCUUGUGAAUUGUUUAAGGUAUAACAAAAACAAAUUUGAUAAUUCAACUAUCGUUUCCCUUUUCAGAGGACAAUUUUUCACAUUUAGUUUAUGUAUUUUCCACAGAUUAGGUGCAAAUAGAAUGUAACAAAUCUAUAAAAAGAUAGCAUGCGUGGAGCAUCCGGUGAAUGAAGAGAGUCGAAACUGAAAAAGCAACAGCUCCAUCUUAAACUCGAAAGUAUCAUAUUUAAUUCAGUCAUAUUAAAUUUAAUUUAUAACAAUAAUAAAACGAAACGAACUAAUGUGGGCAGCAGGCAUGAGCAUGACAAACUUCACGUGCUACCUUAGCAAAUUACAGCAGCAGACCUUGAAAUGUGUAAUAAAACCCACAUGGUUUUCUUUGACUUCUUUUUUCUUUUAAUAUUUUGCGGUAACUAUACAAGUAGGAGUAUUUGUUUUCUUUUAAGGCUUGAUUCAAAAACCCUUCUUGAACUAGUGUUACUAAAGUUUUAAAGUAGCAGUGCAGCUCAUUUUUUGAAAAUGGGCCGGGUUUAAAAAUUUGACAACUUCUGAGUUCAAAUCUAGCCAUCAAAGUGAAAGUCCAUUUUUUAUUUAUCAAUAUUGUUUAUAUAAAAUUUACAAGCUCUCUUUAAACGGUUGUCGGUGGUGGGUAUUCUUAUUUCUGUUUCUACAGAUGUCUAAAGAGGGGUUCCCUUAAUAAGAUGUAAUUUCUACUCUUGUUGACCUAUUUCUAUAAUUUUUUUUUCUUCAUCGGUUUAUGGAACCAUUAGAAUUAUGAAGCCAUGGAACAAGAAAUAUGUAGGUGAGAAAACUAAUUUUCCUUUUUUUACAUUUUCUCCUAUAAUAACGCACAACUUUUUUCGAUGAUCAAAUAUUCAAAGUAAAAUAAUCAUCAUUGCUUAAAUAAUUUAGACUUGAUUACCAAAAUAACUAUUAAACUUAUGUGAUUUUUUCAUUUUAACCAUAAAACUGUUUUUGUUGCAGAAUAAUGCAACUAAGUAAUACAAAAUCAAUUUGAUAUAACCCAAUUUUAAUGAAUCUCUAACCAUGGUUAAUUCAUAGCUGACAUGAAUGUCACAUGCAGCACAAGCAGCACAAUACAUCAAUUUUUUAAUUUAAUUUUAAAAUUUUACAUAAUUUAUUAUACAUACAUAAAAAGUCAUCUAUAUUUACAUUUUCUUUUUGUGUAUAAAAAUUCAAAUAAUAAAUUUUUAUUUAGAAAAAAUAAUAAAAUAAUUUAUGAAACUAAAUUUUUUAGAAGUAUUAAAAUGCGUGUCAAACUCUCGUUUUCAGAUCACCAGAAUAUUGCAAACUACCACAAUAUUUUAAUAAUGCUAAAAAGAAUAAUAUAGUGUUUUUUUAGCAAAGAAUAAUAUAGUGUUAAUAAUCAAAUCUGAAUCUAAAAUCAGUGACAAAAAAAAUUCCGAACCUAACAUCAGUGACAAAAAAAAUCAUAGUUUAGUGCUAAGUUUCUAAAUACACAAUAUGUUUGGUGGCGAAAAAAUCUAUUUUUUCUUAAAUAAAAUUAUCAAUUCGAUAUAAGUUAAUAUAAAUCGCAUGAAAAAUAAUCGAUAUACAGUACUGAUAGACGGUGGUUUCAAAAAAUCACACUAACAUCGUCGCCUUCGAACAUAAGUUUUAGUAGGCUCUGCGUUUGUGUAGAUUGUGAAUUAGGAUUUUGACCCUUAAUGAGAUAGUAAAAAUAUUAAUAAAACCCAUGUACCAAAUAAUUUAAUAAAUAACUUGAUAAUAUACGUGGCAUCCAUCUUAAUUUUAACUUAACUAUAGUUAUGAACUAGUAAGAUUGGGUUUUUUAAAUAAAAUUUUCUAAAGUUACUUGCAUUAUCCUGCAACAAAUAUACUAUUAUGGUUAAAUUGAAAAAAACACGAUAGUUAUAUAAUUUUUUUGAUAAUUAAGUCAAUAAUUUAUAAGUCUCCACACACUUUAUAAAUUUAUAAAUUCCGAUUUACAUAUCAUCUAAAAUUCACAUUUUUACUUCAAUCAAGAAGUAACUUAUUUUAAUUUUAUUCAAACAUGCCCGAGCAGUGGCACAUUUCAGUAUCGAUUAUUGAUCAAGAAAAUCAUACUUCGUCCGUCUCAGUACGUUCUUUACGUUAUUAUUUGACACGUAUAUAGAGAUUUCUCUAAAGUAGAGUUUCAUAACAUAUUUUAAUUUUUUUUAAAGAAAUUUUACUUUUUAUUUAAACUUUUAUCCAAAAAUAAUUAAAAAUAAAAAAAUUAUGAAAUUAUACUUUAUUAGAGUCUCAAAAUACGUGUAAAUAGUAAAUAUAAGCAACCUGUUAGGACGGAGGAAGUAAAUAUUUCAUGUUCUUAUACAUGUUUACUUAAAAUAAGUUAUGAUUUUUUUUGAAGUUUAAUAAAAUAUUAGUUGGAGCCUGUUAAGUCGGGAGUUUUUAUCCUACUUUAAACUGAAAAAUUGUAAUAUAAGCUCAAUAUCAGCAUGCAUAUGAUGAUAUGAAUAUAUGAUGCAUGCAGUGAGAAAAAAUAUAAAAAUACUCCCGCAUACAAGAAUAACAAACGGUCCGACCGCCUCUUUCACAAGUCACCGCCUUUACCUGCACACAAUACUGCGUGGACACAGUAUAAAAAAAUGUGUGUGUCAUAUAUAUCCCCCAUCUUAUUCAAACUUCCUCAUGUCUUCAACACCUUGCAUUCACACCCUAUCCUAAAAUUCCAAUCUUUUCAACUCCCCCACUUCUCUCAUGCUAUCAUAUUUAUCGUUUUGAUUUUCUACCCAUUAUUCCCUUAAAAAAAACAAAGUACUCCCUCCGUUUCAAAUUAGAUGUCCACUUUAAAAAAAUCACACAGUUUAAGAAAAGCGGGUGUUCAUAAAUUAAUUGCAUUAAAUGAUCAAAAUAUGUGGAGUGGGAUUGAUCUAGGAAAUAUAAACAAGGGAUAUGUGGAGUAAAAUUGACUUUGGAAAUAUGAUUUUGCAUUGAAAGUUGAAGUGGACAAGUAAUAUGAAACAAUUUUUUUUUUUAAAUGUGAACAUGUAAAUUGAAACGGAGGGAGUAUAUGGAAACAUUUUUGUUUAAAUUUUAAAGUGCAAUGUAUUAAAAAGAUUCUUAUUUUAUGACAAACAUGUGUGACAAGGUGGGCCGUUUUCUGUACUUGUAAUCUCGUUUGUCAACUCAAUCUUCCUACGCGUUCACACCUCCCAUGCUUCUAUUUUACACAAUUCAACUUGAACAACUCUUUCCACCAGUCUUUUAUAUUUCCACAUAAAACUCCUCUCUUCCCAACUUAAUUCUUGUAUGCACAACUGACUCAGAGGUGCACUAGGUCAAAUGAGUGAAAAUAACAGCACAGCUCCAAGAAAAAGGCAGAGAAGAUUGACCAGACCCAAGAUUGAUGAAGAUGAUAGUGUUGAAGCAACUGGGCUGCAAGGAGAGGUUGUCAAGACAAAAGGGCUGAAAGAAAUCAUCACUUCUUUGUUGUUGCUUGAGAAUCAAGAAAAGUGUGGUCCCCAGAAAAAGUUGAGGAAUGCUGUGAAAGCUGAUUCUGGUGAUGAUGUGGUUUUUAAUGGUGGAGGGUCUCAGAGGAGGCUCUGGGUGAAGAAGAGGUCGAAAGCGUGGUGGGAGCAAUGCAACAGUGAAGACUUUCCUGAGGAGGAGUUCAAGAAGGCCUUUAGGAUGGGAAAAGGGACUUUUGAGAUGAUUUGUAAGGAGCUGAAUUCUGUUGUGGUGAAGGAGAACACUAUGUUGAGGGAUGCUGUACCGGUGAGGCAACGCGUGGCGGUUUGUGUGUGGAGAUUGGCUACUGGGGAGCCUUUGAGGCUUGUGGCCAAGAGGUUUGGAUUGGGGAUUUCGACUUGUCAUAAGCUGGUUCUUGAGGUUUGUUGGGCGAUCAAGGCGGUUUUGAUGCCUAAGUAUCUGAAAUGGCGCGAUGAGGCGGUUCUGAGGAAGAACAGAGAUGAGUUUGAGAUGGUUUCGGGGAUUCCUGAUGUGGUGGGAUCAAUGUAUACUACUCAUAUUCCUAUAAUUGCUCCGAAGAUGAGUGUGGCGGCUUAUUUCAAUAAGAGGCAUACUGAGAAGAAUCAGAGGAGUUCUUAUUCGAUUACAGUUCAGGGUGUGGUGGAUUCGAGUGGGGUGUUUAGUGAUGUCUGCAUUGGUUGGCCUGGCUCGAUGGCUGAUGAUCAGGUGCUGGAGAAGUCUGCGCUUUAUCAGAGGGCUAAUGGAGGGCUUUUGAAGGGGAAGUGGAUUGUUGGGAGUUCUGGUUAUCCGCUGAUGGAUUGGGUUUUGGUGCCUUAUGCACAGAAGCAACUGACUUGGACUCAGCACGAGUUCAAUGAGAAGAUCGCGGAGAUUCAGAUGGUGUCAAAGGAUGCAUUUGCGCGGUUGAAAGGAAGGUGGGCUUGCUUGCAGAAGCGAACUGAGGUGAAACUUCAGGACUUGCCUGUGGUGCUGGGAGCUUGUUGUGUUCUGCACAAUAUAUGUGAAUUGAGGAAUGAGGAGAUGGAUCCCGAGUUGGCGAUUGAGCUUGUUGAUGAUCAGAUGGAUCCUGAGAUUGCAGUCAGAUCAGUGAGUGCAGUCAAGGCAAGGGAUUCAAUUGCUCAUAAUCUUCUGCACCAUAGUCAUGCCAGCACUGCUUUCUUGACUUGAGUACAAGUAGCCUUGUUCACCUCCAAGUGUUUCAUUUCAGUUUAUGCUUAUUAGAAGUAGCUUUUAUGUUAUAUCCUCUAUAAAGUGGAAUGCAUACCCAGGUUUUACCAUAGUUCCUAAACUGAAUCAACUGACUUAUCAAAAUAGAAUUCGUAAUUCUUGUGUUAUUGUCAUUGCUAUAAACAUCAACUCAAUGACUCGAUUCCUAUGUUUGUUUGUUUUCUGCUUCUCAGAAGCACAAACACCUGCUCUAGUGCAGAGUAUGUUCAGACUUUUACGAUACUGAUUCAGGAAGGGCAUUGCGUGAAUGUGAUAUGAUCCGCGAAGGGCCAUGGGUUUCUCGACAGAUCGAUUGUUCUUUGAACGAAAGUUCUAGUAAUUGUAACUAGCUUAGUUUUGUCCUGUAUUCCCUCUCUUUCACUGAUAUUGUACAGGGCAGCUGGUCCAGAACAUACGAAUGAUAGUAGUAUACGUUCAGCAAGGAAAAAAACACUGGACGUAAAAACCUAGGAUGAGGCAAUUUUACGCUGAAUGAUACUAUAACACCCCUUGUAUAUAUAAAAACUUAGGGUUAACCUGUCUAGCGUUUUUUUUUCCUCCCCCGAAACCUAUGUAGCAUACAUAUACAAGGGAACUCGACCAUUAUACAAAUGGUGAUGUUUGUUUCCAUAUGAAAGGAAGGAAUUGUUAUAUUCUGAAACAAGAGGAGCUGCAUAUACUCCUAAUCUUUGUUGGGGUCAGUGAGUUGGUUUGGUAUAUAUCAAAGGGUCCAUUUUUUAAAACAAAAGAAUAAUCUAAUUGUUAGAAUGUUAGGUUAGAUUCCAAGUUUUGGACAUCUUGUUGGUUUAUAGAUAAAACUUAUGUACAUAUGUUAUCAAUACAUCACCAGGGUAUUUGAUUGCAGAUAAACAAUAUUCAGGACGGCAUUAUUCAUGCUUCACAUACAUCCCAUUCACACUAGACCAGAAUAUAUUAAACAGAUUUUCUUAGUAAAAUAUAUACACAGGAAUUUAUAGGAUGAGAUGAAUAAAGAUACCUUAAAAUCUUGAACAAGGCAUAGAGCUUGCAGCUUCUUGGCUAAGCAGUAUAAUUUCGCCCCCUGGAAUAUUCUAAUGUUCUAAAUUCGGGUGAGAUGGUGUCUAGACGCUAAACGGACCUAAAUCUUGAGAUGAUGUCUAGACCCUAGACGGACUGAAAUCCAUCCAAUUUCAAUUCGAUCCUUGACGUACCUAGUCUAGACGGACCUAAAUCCAUCCAAUUUGGUCCCUGACGUACCUAAACUGAUUCGAGCCGGUCCUCGACAUUAUUUGAACGUUUCUUUUUUAAAAUCAAUGAAAAAAAAAGGAAGCAGUGUCUGGCAACCAAUAGUAUAAAAUUUUAACUUUCCCCUGUUUGGUUAUUAUGACACUCAGGUCUCAGCUGUCUGCCUGUCUUGGCCUUGCAUCUAUUCCUAAAGUCAUGGAAGAUUGUUCUUUUAUGCUACUUUGUCAAAAAUAAUUCAACAAUCACCACAUGGGUUUUCCUGUAUUUAAUAAUUGAUAUGCUUGGAACAUUGUUCCCAAUCUCUCUCCAAUAUCAGCAGACUGCAGCUAUAUCUUGUGUAAAAUUUUGGGAGGAUCAAUUAUCUACUUUUGGAUCAUUUUUUUGAAUAAAUUAAGUUAAUAAUUUAGCAAAAAUAAUAAGAAGAAUACAAUAUAUAUCUCCAGACUCGCAAGAAAUCAGAAGCAAUGCAUUUUAGCCUGCUGUAGAACAGUAUCUAUGAGCCUGAAAUUACCACUUUCCUUAACCUUGGAUGAUAUAAGCAAAGAACAAGUCCAGACCAAACAUCUAUCUAGCUAGAUACCCAUAUUCUCUCAGAUAUUUCCUAUAAAUUAAGACCGGAAGCAGAAAUCUAUUAGUAGUCAACAAAAAGUGAGUAUUGACCAGAAUGCACUAUUAAACCUGAAUGCAGAUCUUCACACAAUUAAAUAAUACUGCUAAGCAAAGACUCCUUACUAUUCAUCAAUUGGCAAGGGGUGUACAAUAUUGUAUUGCCACGUGAUAACAGCCAAUAUUAGCUACCCGGUACAAAAAACUAUCCGUCUGCUAGUUGCUUAUAGGCGACCAACCUACAUUGUUUACAAUCACAUUUCUUAGCAUGACAAUCACAGGGCACCUGCAAACCGCUCUUCACGACCAGGUGGCAGCCGAAACGGAAAAUGGGCAAAGUGUAUGCUCAAGACAGAUGAGUCUGGUUUUUUGUUAUCAAACUUGUAACCUAAAAAUGAUUCAACAUCAUUAAACCAAAUGAAACUAUGUCAGGAAACCUAUAUUUAAGUCCAAUUCAUUUCAUAAUUAAUUGAACAGACUUGCUGUGUUCCAUGGUAAAGUUAAACAUAAGCAUUGGCAAAAUGAAGCCUAGGAGUAUAGUCAUGUAUGAUACUUAAAGUUAUUUGCUAGCAUCUGUAGUUCUUGAAUGCCUUGUACCCAGGUAAUAUAAUCCAAAAAGAAAUUAGAAACUGCACUUAACCUUGUAGAGCUUCCAGAGCAGUUAAAGCACACUUCGCAUCUGUAAAUUCAACAAAGCACAAAACCAAUGCCUUAUCUCCAGCCUGCAAUUUAUCAAAUUACGAGAAUAUGUACGGUAUAUAAAUAAUUAAAAACACACAAAAAAAAUUUUAAAAAAAAAUUCCAAAAUUUAUUACAUAUUUCAUCAGCUAAUUCUAUAUGAAAGCGCGGGCUUUUGUAAACGAAGUGCACUAAUUAUUUUAUAUAUAAAUAUAUAAAUUAACACACACACACACAUUAAGAUAACUGGACAUGCUAAUUACUAUCUACAAACUGGAAAAAAAAACUAGGCCCAUGUUUCAUAGUUAGGCCUCGCGAUUUGACACAUGACACGCUAACACGAAACCAAACAUGAAAAAAAUGGAUAUGAGUUUUGAUUUUCGAUACACGAAACACGAAAGUACACGAACACAAAAUUACACGAUAGAUUUCGUGCUGGAUACGGGUUUUUAUUUUGGGCACACAAAAUUUUUUAUAUAUAACUUUUAUUUUUAUAUGUUAUAAUAUAUUAAAUAUAUAAUUAUGUAAAAAAAAUAAAUUUAUAUGUGUAUGUAGAUAUAGAUUUGUACGCAAACAUAAAUAAUUAUAUACAAAAAUAUAUAUUUUUGUAGAAUUAUACAGAAUAAUAUAUUUUAAAGAUGUUUUUUGAAAAAAAUUAUAUUAAUAUUUAUGUAUAAAAUGUACACAAAACACCCAUAUGAUGACUAUAAGUAUUUGUUAAGCUAGUCGAUUAUUCAAUUUUGGUUAAGCUAGUCAGAUUCCUUUUUUUCGUAUGAUGACUAUAAGUCUAGAUGUAUAAUGUAUAAUGUAUAAUGUACAAGGCUUUUAAAAAGGCUGGAUAAAAUAAAAUAUUGGUCCACUUUAAAAAUAUAUCCAGAUCUAAUAGAAACACACAUUUACAAAAAGGCGCGCUUUUUAUAGCGUUUUUGCGCUUCAGCAUCAUCCACAUAAAGCGGGGCUUUAGCUUUUGUAUUUGCUCUGCGCUUUUAAAAAACAAAUCCCAAUAGGUGCGCACUUUGUGCUUUAGCGGCACUUAAUCUUUUGAUAACCAUGAUCUUACAUGAUAAAAAACUAAUUCUUAAUAAUGACUAGAUUACCAAUAUAUACUUUAUUCACGCUCCCAAGCUUUUUAAGGGAUGAAUGCAGAGGGAUGUAAUAGGAAGUAAGUGAAAUGAAAUGCAAUAAGUUUCAUUAUCUAGCUCCUGAAAUUAAAAAAAGUUAAGUGAAACUAUUCUCAUUAAUUUGGUCCCGAGUUGCAACGGAAACAUAGAAUUCACUGUCAAACACAAUCUUAUCCUUAUAGUCAAGAAGUUAAAUUUUAGUUUGUAAGGGUAUAUUGGUAAUACUUUUUUUUUUUUAAAUUUAACUCCGCCGCUUGCUUUCCUCUUCAUCCCACUUUUGGGAGUGGAAAUUUUGGAAUGAAAGUUUAUAAAAAUUUCACUUGCUUCCUUUACUACAAAAAUAACUCAAGAGCAUGAAUAGGACAUAUUACAUAAGUUGCUUUCCUCUUCAUCUGCUUUACUCCCUCUAAAAAACUCAGGAGCAGGGUGUAACUUACUCAUACCUAAUUUCUAAUAUAUUUCUUAUUUAGGAUACAAAUCCAUGUAUCUACAUAAUAACAGAAUACAUUUAAAUAACUUUUUUAUUUCCUCUGCUGUGCGCUUCUCCCCUGCUCUAGAAAAUUCAACCUCAAGUUUUGGAGUGAACACUAAUCUAGAAGGCUCAAAUAUAACAACUGAAGAAACUAACCCGCAAAAGCCAAAAGCCAAUGGUAGAUACUAUAUAUAAACAUGACUGCACAGAAAUGGGGUGCAAAAAGAGAGUCAACAAGGAAUAGUAUGGUACUCCAUUUAGACAUCUUCACAUAUGAAAAUAACCUGAACAAAAUUGAAUUAGGAACAAGUUCAAUGUUGUCAACUAUUGGCUUUGGUGUAUUCUUACUUCUAACGAUAUGUGGUCUUUAAUCUAGUUGAUCCACUAAAUCUUUGAUAUUCAUCGUAUAAAUGUUCAUGUUCCUUCUCCGAUUCCUGUCAAUUGAGUCCCAGUAAUUAUAAUCAUACAAAUACUAACGUAUAAUGAUACUCCAGAGCAAGAUAUAGUCCUCACAUACUAUGAGAUCUAAACGAGACAUGCUAUUUUGUUUUCGUCACAGAGUCCAAACUAUGAUAUCCAUAAGAAAUUAGGAUAUGGUCGACUGAAGGGAAAUAAAACCUUUUAAAAGCCCAUUUAAUAUACCAAUUAAAGGCCUAUCUGAGAAUUGAAAAAAAAAUUCAAACAAUGUUGUGUUAUUACAAAAACCUCAGGCUGAAAUGCAUUUCUAUAAAGUUAUAAACAAUUUCAGGGCGAGGUCUAUAAUUUUCUAGAAUUUCUGAGUACCUACCUGUAGUAUGCCAAUAUUGUAAGUAGAUAAAAAACAACAACUAUAAGGUUAGGUGGUUAAAGAUAAAUCAAGUGAAAAUAACAGGGCAGGGCAGGGAGGUUGUGAGCGGCGGCAAAACUUUCAGAACUUCCAAGGCACGUCUGUCUUUCUUUUUUCUUUUUUUUUCCUUUUCGAUGACUACAUAACACGGACCAAUAUAAAUCGAGAUCUUACCGGUCAUCUAUUGCCGUCUAGGGACUGGUCAAACUUGACGGGAUAUGAUAACAUGGAGCAACGGGACCAUUAUUUGUUCACUGUAAGCUAGAUCUUGUAACAGAGGGACCAAAAUCUCUGAAGAAAUAUUUUAAAACACCUCAGACAUAGACCUGGUCUAUCCUCUUUUCUUGAAUAACGCAUUAAAACCACGAGACCUAGCUCAAUUACAAGGAGUAUAAGGACAACAAAAGCAGAACGAUUCACACAAGCAUUUCUUUUGGAACUGGCCAUCUUUGUUCAUAUAACAGAUAAAUUCAUUUUGUGUAUUCAGCUUCCAUCAAAGUCCUUGUACUCGCAAAAACGUUUUUACUGGUAGAAAACAUCUGAAUGCCGCCAAAUUACUGAUGGGGUCAGUUACAUGGCUACAGCAUGGGAGUUGCACUUAAACUAAUCGAGCAGAAUAAAACAUUCAUUCAUUAAUUUUACUUUUGGGUAAGAUCAAUCACAAGAAAUUUAAUUUACUCGCACACACUAGGGAUGGCAACGGGUCGGGUCGGGUUCCUCGAGAUCCAGACCCGAUCCAUUAUAUUUCGGUUCGGGCCGGGUCCGGGUCCGGGUCUGGAAAAUGAAGAUCCAGAUCCAAUCCGUCGGGUUUUUUCGGGUUUCGGUUUGAGUUCGGGUCUAAUUCGGAUACUUUAAAAAAUAAAAUAAAAUAAAAAUUAAAGAUUAUAUAUCUAUAAAAAAAAUGUGAUGAUUGAUUUUUUUUUAAAUUUAGGAAAAUAAAAAAGGGUUUUACAAGUUUCGUUUAGUACAAUAAACACGUGAAACAUGUUAACUUAAUUGUAUACAAUCAUUCAACUUAUCAUUUAUAUUUUAUAUUUUUAUUAUAUUUAGAUUUUUUAAUGCACCAUAAUUGAGAAAAAUAUUGAUGAAAUGAAUAUAAGUUUUGUAUUGGGCAUAUAAAAUUAAGUAAAAUGUUAAUAUUCAUACCUAAUAAUUCAUAAUAUUUCAAUAUAUAUACUCUACAUUAAACAUAUAAUAUAUAUAUAUAUGUGUGUGUGUGUGUGUGUGUGUGUAUAAUAUAAUGUAUCGGGUUUUUUUCGGGUUUCGGGUUCGGAUCGGGUUUAAAUCGGGUUUCGGGUUUUGGGUCGGGUCUCGGGUCGGGAUACCUAAGAUCCAGAUCCAGAUCCAAACUCUUUCGGGCCUGAAAAUAAGAUCCAGAUUCAAAAAUAUCGGGUUCGGGUAGACCCAAUCGGGUCGGAACGGGUCGGGUAAAACUGUCAUCCCUAGCGCACACAUUUAAGGAUCGAAUCCCUGACCUUUGGGAACUAAGAAUGAGGGGUAUUCAUUAUUGAAUUUCUUAGCAACCGAACAGCUAUUACAAAACUUGAACAGCCAUUACAAAACUAAAAUACAAUUGUGCAGAGUAAUAUGAUUAUAGGUACAAUUACAAUACUAGUUUGUGAGAAAAAGCAACCAACUUUUGCCUGCUUCCUAUUUUAUGGUUUAAUCAUUGUCUUCCUUGUAAAUAUAAGAAAGAAAGUUAUACCAUUAAAAUCCUCAAAUAAACUUGCUUUCUUGUUGGUACCAUUUACACGAUAUUACUACAAAUGUUUCUAACUAAACAUCAAUUUUACGUACUUAAAUGGUAGAGUGGGGGGAAUAAAUUGUGGUAGUUGCAAAAAAGGGCAUAAACUUAAUUGUUAUUUUUUGAUAAUAUUGUUUAAUAAUCACAGCAGGAUACAUAUGUAAGCACGAGAUGUUGCCUAACAAUUGACAGAGUAAAAUGGCAGACUUACCCGUCUAGGCUCCUUAUGAACAACUCUAAUUUCUCUGAACCCAAUGAAAGGACGAAAAAGAUCUAAAUUCGAAAUCAAGGAAUAAGAACAGAAAAGAAGCUUAAUAAUUAGAUAGAUACAGUCAAAAUAUUUCUGAAAAUGGGAAACGAAUUUUACUUAUGGCCCAGACACCAACGAGAAGUUAGUCAUGCAGAGAUACAGCAUAUAAUUAUAAUAUAAAAAAGAAGGAUACGGCCUACUUCUCUUCUGGUACAGUCAUGUGGGAGCCCAUCGACAAAUAAAACAUUUGACUCUUUCUUUAAAGCUGGAACUGGAACCGGAAGGUCAUCGAUAUUUCCAUAAGAGGCAGGCCUUUCAUUUAAUACGCCGGGGAGAGUUGAACCCAAAGGAACAUCUCCUCUCGGAGCAAGUAAACUCGGAUCUUCUACAGAAGGUGUGUAGCUUCUCAUGCUUGUUCCAGUCAUAUAUCCACCCGGAGCAGGAUCUGAACGAACACCAACACCAUCAUUUACACCAUAAGCUCUACUACGCAAUGGCAAGAUCUGCACAUUAAUUCACAGGCAUUCAAACUUUAAUCUAUUCAAAAUACAAUUUAUGGUAUGUUAUGAAAUAACGCUCUGGUAUUACAGGUAANUCAUCCCUAGCGCACACAUUUAAGGAUCGAAUCCCUGACCUUUGGGAACUAAGAAUGAGGGGUAUUCAUUAUUGAAUUUCUUAGCAACCGAACAGCUAUUACAAAACUUGAACAGCCAUUACAAAACUAAAAUACAAUUGUGCAGAGUAAUAUGAUUAUAGGUACAAUUACAAUACUAGUUUGUGAGAAAAAGCAACCAACUUUUGCCUGCUUCCUAUUUUAUGGUUUAAUCAUUGUCUUCCUUGUAAAUAUAAGAAAGAAAGUUAUACCAUUAAAAUCCUCAAAUAAACUUGCUUUCUUGUUGGUACCAUUUACACGAUAUUACUACAAAUGUUUCUAACUAAACAUCAAUUUUACGUACUUAAAUGGUAGAGUGGGGGGAAUAAAUUGUGGUAGUUGCAAAAAAGGGCAUAAACUUAAUUGUUAUUUUUUGAUAAUAUUGUUUAAUAAUCACAGCAGGAUACAUAUGUAAGCACGAGAUGUUGCCUAACAAUUGACAGAGUAAAAUGGCAGACUUACCCGUCUAGGCUCCUUAUGAACAACUCUAAUUUCUCUGAACCCAAUGAAAGGACGAAAAAGAUCUAAAUUCGAAAUCAAGGAAUAAGAACAGAAAAGAAGCUUAAUAAUUAGAUAGAUACAGUCAAAAUAUUUCUGAAAAUGGGAAACGAAUUUUACUUAUGGCCCAGACACCAACGAGAAGUUAGUCAUGCAGAGAUACAGCAUAUAAUUAUAAUAUAAAAAAGAAGGAUACGGCCUACUUCUCUUCUGGUACAGUCAUGUGGGAGCCCAUCGACAAAUAAAACAUUUGACUCUUUCUUUAAAGCUGGAACUGGAACCGGAAGGUCAUCGAUAUUUCCAUAAGAGGCAGGCCUUUCAUUUAAUACGCCGGGGAGAGUUGAACCCAAAGGAACAUCUCCUCUCGGAGCAAGUAAACUCGGAUCUUCUACAGAAGGUGUGUAGCUUCUCAUGCUUGUUCCAGUCAUAUAUCCACCCGGAGCAGGAUCUGAACGAACACCAACACCAUCAUUUACACCAUAAGCUCUACUACGCAAUGGCAAGAUCUGCACAUUAAUUCACAGGCAUUCAAACUUUAAUCUAUUCAAAAUACAAUUUAUGGUAUGUUAUGAAAUAACGCUCUGGUAUUACAGGUAACAAAAACUCCCUUCCUAUCAUUAUAUAUAUUUGCCAUUUCUACAAUAAAAGUGAGAGUUAAAAUAUGUAAAGUAUUACAGGUACAACUAGAAUGUAUUAAGCUUACAUCUUUUUGCAGCACAUCAGACGAACUUCCAUGCAGAUCACUUGAGGCCCACCCAUGAUGCACUGGUAAUGCAGGCGUUGCAGAUGACAAGUAGCCAGGAAAACUUGAUGGUGGAAUACCAGGCGUUGCAGAUGACAAGUAGCCAGGAAAACUUGACGGUGGAAUGCCAGCUGAUACAAUAGCCACAAUAAUCAGAGAUAAUUAUAAACACUAAAAUACACAUCCCCAUUAAAACAAAAAAAAUGAUAGCCAACACGAGAAAGGUAAAGCCGUAAUGUGAAUUGAAGUCACAACUUGCUUACUCUAUAACUCAAAGAAAAACACAAAAUCUUUAAUAAAUUCAAUAAAACUUUACACAAAAACAUUCCCCCAAAUUCUUAUCUAGCUAGCUGAAUUUCAUCUCUAACUUCCAAAGAAAAUGAUCAACAGCACAAUGAGCAAUCCCUUAAGGACCCAGCAUAAACAAAAAUCAAAAACAUGUUCCCAAAAAAACCCAAAAUGCAGGACCUUUAAUAACCACAAAAUGGGUAUUUUACAGUAGCUACAAACACCCUAUUUCACAAUCAAUCCAUCAAAAAUCACAACCUUAUAUAUGCAUACACACAUAAACAUAAAGCCCAUGACUUUAAUUUAAAGGGUAGUCAAUUCUUGAAUAUUAACAACAAUUAAUACAAAAAUUAAUGUACAGCAAAACUAAAAUUAGGGCUAGGGUUGAAAAGGGUUACCUCGAUCAGCAGAAGAAGCAGCGUAUCGCCAGUAAGGAUCCGCCAUGAGCACAGCUAUAUUUUGUAAUUUGGGUUUUUUAGUUUUAUUUGGGACAAUAAAGUUUUUAUUUUAAUGUUUACUAUAUCUUUUUUGGUAAAUAAUGUAAAAAAAAAAAAUGUGUGCUUUGGGCUGUGAGUGAUUGUUUUCGAAGCAUGGGAUUUGAAAGUGGACAGUAGUCCAUGGACAUGGGCCUUUCACUUUUAUAAUUUUUUUAAAGUUUAUUAAAGACGGAAUUUUUGUUUUGCAAGCAAAUAAUUAUCAAAUUGCAAAAUGACAUUCUUCGAUAAAAAAUUCCGGGACCAUUAAAUUGCAAGCAGAUUUUUAUUUUAUUUUUUUCUUUAAUGCUAGAUCACAAGCAGCUUCUCGACUCUGAAGGAGAGGGACAUCACAAACAUUUUUUGUAAUUACAAUAUAACUCUUAUUUUCUUUAUAUUUAAAAAUAAAUAGAAAUAUCCUUAAAAAAAAAGAAAUUGAAAUAAAUCAAAGCAAACCAAACAUACUCAGUAUAUCGCGCUUAGAGCAGGGUCUGAGAAGAGUAAGAUGUACGCAGCCUUGCCCCUGCAAUCAAAGCAGAGAGACUGUUUCCGUGAAGACCCCCGGCUUAGUGCCCAAUAAAUAAUAUAAUGUGUGAUAUAAUAUUAAUAUAUCUUAGCCCAUGGCCUUCUUCACAUGGGAUUUACCUAAAUAGUUCCCGUUUGUUGAUGAUGGGUAACAAUGAUCUGAAACGGUGACAAUGAUCUGAAACGGAGAUAUCAAACUGGAUAAGAACUGCCACUAUUUGCACACUUUUUUGAAUUAACUUGAAUUCUUAUUGUGUAAUCCAUCUAUGUCGGUUCUGCUUCAUCAAACUCUUCGACGAAACAAUAUAUGUGAUGAUCCAUUAAUACGCACUAAACCUUAUCAAAUCUUUCGACGAACCACAUCCGUGAUGAUCCAUUAGUAAAAAAAGAAAUUGAAAUAUAUUUUGUAAAAACUGAUGCUUAUUAUAAUAUUUAUAUAUAUUUUUUUUCAAUUUUUAUUUUCAGUUCUAGUUAAAAUAUAAUUCUGAAAUUGUCACCAAAUAUUUUUAUUUUCACAGAAAUAAAAUUUUGACUUCUAACAUUACAAAUAAUAAUAUUUCUUAUAUGUAUUAAAAAAAUAUUCAUAUAUCAUAUGAAUUAUUAAAAUAAAAUACAUCUUUUGAAUAAAUUUCUGUGCUUCGUGACAUCUGAAAUCGGUAUAAUAUUAUUUGGAACAUAUAUUUUUAAAGAAUAUACCAAUUUUAAUUUCAUGUAUAAAUAUUAUAUACGUGUAUUUUAUAAUUUAAAGAACCAGAUUUUGGACAUGAUAUAUUUUCGUUUUUGGUCCGACAGGGCCAAUCCAACCAGUCUAACCAAAGGUCUAUGUCCAGAAAGUUGUGUAACCCUAGACACCCAAUUAUUUGCUAGGAUGUUAAAGUAGCACAGGAGUGCAAGAACUUGAUAUCAUCACUCAUCAGUACGUGAUUCCAUUAAGAAGUACACACUGACGCUUAAAUAGAAAUAUCAAUGGAAGAAGAGAGAACCUUGAACCCAGUUGCCGAGAACAUACAUCAAGGUUCUUCGCUUAGUUCGUAUCGUAUUGUGUCAUGUUAGCAUAUCAAAUUGCAUGACUCUAUAUAGUACAUAAUUAUAUAUAAAUACUAGAUAGUCAUAUUUAUGCCAUAUCAAUGCAUGAAACAUGGAUUUUAUUGACCACAAUAUCAUCUUUGGAUGGGUAAAAUCUAUAUCUUUGUAUAUUAUAGUCAGGAACAGAUCUAGUAAGAUGCGGGGACAUGUGUUUUUUCUAAAUUGUUUUUAAAACUUUUUUAGUGUUCUAAAAUCUUACAAAAUUAUUGAAGUGCCUCCACGAAUAUAAGCACCGCCCCUGAUUAUAGUCGAGAGGUACCCAUAUAAUCCUUUUUUUUUUUUUUGCUGAUUAUCCUUGUGGGAUGUGAUGUUUUAAUAACACAACUUCUAGAUGGAUGGCACUUUGUUUUUCUUCUUCUUUUUUCUAAAGGGAACUUUUGAAAACAGGAGUUGUGAGAUAUCUAAGAGAUGCCCCGCCAGCUCACUAUCUGGUGAAAAUAGAAUCCUUCUCAAGGCUUGCUAAUUCAGGGCUUGAAAAGUGUGAAUCAGCUGUGUUUGAUGCUAGUGGUUAUAAAUGGUACUCAUCAUAAUUAUCAUUCAGACCCGUAUUUACGAUCAUAUGUUACCAGUAAUCCCUCUGUUUGCAAAUAAUUGACGUUUGAUUUUUUAUAUUGUAAUCAUACUUUUUUGCAGGAGGUUAGUUCUAUACCCGAAUGGAAACACAAAAAGAGGGGGUGGAGGGCAUAUAUCUCUUUAUCUAGCCAUAGAUAGUGACUCCCUUCCUCUUGGUUGGGAGGCUUAUGUUACUUACAAAAUGUUUGUGUUUGAUCACCACAAGGACAAAUACUUGACAAUCCAAGGUGUGUGUAUUUGUUUGUUUAGUCAUUCACAUCAAGGUCACUAUCCCUUAAUUAGGUUUGGAUCUGCGAAUUUGUGUUUAAGAUGACUUACAGCCAGAAGUUAGUUUGAGGUACUUUUGUGUGAGUUUAUUUUUAAACUUUUUUUUAAUAAAAUUAGUUAUCCACAAGUCAUAAGUUACCAGUAAAUUAUUAUUUUUUUAUUUUUACAUUUUUAUAAACCCAUAGAUCUUUAAUAAGUCAAAAUUAUCCAAACGUACUCUCAACUUAUCACAUUAAGUCACGUCAAGUCAUAAGUCACAAUUUAAGUUUAGCCAAACGGCAUCAUACUCAUGAUUUUUAUUGAACAUUGGCCAAAACUGAAAUACAUUACUAUUUGUUUGUAUGGGUCUCUACUCUCUAGAUGAUUCAGUGCAUCAAAUCCGAAGGUUUCAUGAGGCAAAGAAAGAAAGUGGUUUCGACAGAUUGAUUUCACUAGACACUUUCAAUGCAGCAAGAAAUGGUUAUCUUGUUGAUGACCAGUGUGUAUAUGGCGUCGAAGUUCAUGAGGUUAAAUAUACUGGAAAUGGCGAGACCUUUAAGAUGAUUGAGGAUCCUGAAGAUGUCACUUUCGACUGGAUGAUUACUGACUUCUCCACAAUGUGUAGAGAAAAACUUAAAAGUGAGAAAAUUGAUUCAGAGGUAUUUAAAUGUGGAGAAAGCAACUGGUAAGUAUGACUGUUUAUCUUAUUAUUGUGGGAGUGAUGCAAUUUUAAAUAACUUGACUCUAUUAUCCUUUAGUUAGAUUGCAAUAAUAUGUUGAAGUUAUUAAUUUUAAUACCAAAUGAACCUUGUGAAGUAUUUCUUUAUGCAUUUAUUAAUGUUAAUCUUUGCUGGAACUAUAUACACCAUAUAUUUGAAUGUAGCCUUGUUAAAUCCUUUUUUGACUUAUGUGAUCCGAACUACUAUAUGAUUAAGGCAACUGAAACUCUAUCCGAAUGGGGAUUCCAGAAGCAAGGACCACCUAGGUUUGUUUUUGGAGUUGAAGGAGAGUCCUGCAUCUGGAAGGAAAGUAUUAGCAGAGUUUUGGCUGGUGAUUAAAAAUCAAAAAUCUAAUUAUCAUCAUCAAGUAACAGGUUUGUGUAUGCAUCUUUCUUAUAGACGUGUUAAUAAUAAUUACGUUAGUAGUUUCUUGUGGUAUGAAUUUUUUUUUUUCCCAGAUGGAGACUCGUGGUUCAGUACUUCUGCAACAGAGUUUAGUAGUGACGAAGUAUCAAGAAACUGGGGGUGGUCAAGUUUCAUGUCGUUGUCUGACCUGAAAAGUGAGUCCAGCGGCUUCAUAGUGAAUGACACUUUACUGGUGCAAGCAAAGAUUAAGAUAAAGACAGAAGUAACAAGCUUCUAUUAGUAUUCAAGAAACCAAUUGAACUAUUUAUUUUGAGAAGAACUUUUGUUGUCCUAAAGUUGUUCAUGCAUUACUUGGGGAAAUUUAUCUACUUGUAUUUUGACGUCCAAGAAGGUGCUUUAAAAUUGUGCACAUCACUUGCUUUUGUAGCUAGGAAUAUAUAGGUGAGAGCUUUAUAGGCAGAGCUGUGUAAACUAACUGAUAAUUGGGAAAGUUUAAAAGCAAGUCUUGAGCACCAGUUACUCAGAUUAAGAUUCUUCGAGUUAUUGCUUUACAGUAUAAGAUUCGUAUAUGCUAAAGAUAUAUAUAGUUACUGGUCCAUGUUUUGUUAGAAUACUAUAUGUUCUCGGUAAACUCUCUUAAGAAAGAAUUGGUCACUUAACAUAGUAUAAGAGUACAGACAUGCGGGAAAACUUAAUUGGAUGCAGCAAAGAAGUUGAUCAAGUAUGCUAAGAUGUUAACUGCAUUAACCAGAUGCUUUGAAUACAUGUUAUCUUCAUUUGUGUCAUUUGUGUGAUAUAGAGCCUGUUUGUCCGGAUUAAAGCAGGGGCUUAAAGCUAUUUGGUUUUUUUGCAAUUCUGAGAGGAUUCAAAGAUGCUAAAAUGCACAAUUUAAUAUAUUCGUUAACUAUACGGAGAAAAUUGAUGAAGAACUUCCUAUUAGAUACUAUAUAGUAUGAGCAGCACAGUCUGUUUGGAAAAAACCGAUAACUACUUAUAAAUUAAGCCAAACUGAAACCGAUAGCUACUUAUAAGCUAGUUUAGCCAAACAAAAACUAAUAGCUACUAAUUAUAAGCUUAGACAAACAGGCACAUGAACUGAUAGCCGAAUGCAGCUCUUACAGAAGUUAUCAAAGCAUGUUAGCUUGGUGGUUAUGUUGACCCUCGUAUGUUGUUAUCACAUAUCUCGGAUCUUCUCUGUCUCUUUCAACCCUCUUCUUCACUGCACAUCCUUCAAUCGAACACCUGUAGUAGUUCCUGUUCAUCACAUACUAUCAAUCACUAAAGCUGCUUUCUGUAUAAUUUCUUAGUGUUAAAUUUACUGAAUUAUUGCACAUAAUCAGUCUGAUAUGCUGCAUGGUAAUUAAAUUCGUUUGCAUGCUUGAUUUUACGUGUGAUCAUAAUUUAAUUUGGAAGCAGAAUUUUUCGGAAAUUUAUAUGCUUUCACUGAAUUUAGUAAUUCAGAAAUGAAGAUGGUGCAUGCAGUUUGUGUCAUAAUAACAAGUAUAUAUUAUUUCCUCUACUGAUUCUACUCAUGGUUAUCGUAAUAGCAUAUCCGGGUCUGAUACGAUGUUAGGUAACCGACUCAUCUAAAACUCUCCGUUCAAAAUGAGUGACCGAUCUUUUGUGUUUGGAAAAUUCAAACAUUAGUGUCAUGUAGUGGAGUAUUCAGGCCUCUAUCUAGCUAGUGACGUGAAAUAACACAAUAGCUAAAAUAUAAUGGAAGACUAUACAUUAUGGAUGAUCAAGUGUACCUUGGCAUUGGGCUGUUUUUCACCAUCUUCUUCCCAUACUUCCUCCAUUUGAAACCAUCAUCCAGAAUUUCAAUCUCCGUCAUCGUUCUGAACGCCACCUUUUCUUUCCUCGCCGCUCUGCUCCCAAUAUUACCUCCUUCAUAGCAACAAAUUACUUCAUAACUACUUGCACGCAUCACAUUUGUUCACUCCAAGAGAAAAAGAAAUUCUAGCAAUCUGCUCUAUAUUUUUAGAGAAGGGGCUUACAUAUAAAAAUAUUUUAUGCUGUGGUAUAUAAAUAACAAAAAAUGUAUAGGAGUCGGGUACUUAAGCUCCCGAGCGACCCUUUUAAUUCGACUGCUACGUCUAAUGAGUAGACGCUACAUGCACAAAAUUAAGGUGAAAUGUUUUAAUUAAUGUUAUUAAUACAUAUAGAGGACUCAUUUCAAUUAAAACUUAAUACACGUCAUUUCUGAAAAAAAAUUUCAACCCAAUUUUGUGCAUGAAAUAUUUUCCGUAUCUAAUUUACCACAAAGAGUUGAGUUCCUUACUGGCAUUAGAUGCUUCUACGUUGCUACUUCCACCGACAAUACUUCUUCCGUCAUUCGCCGCCGCGUAAACCGGAUCAACCGGGUACCCCGAAACCAUCACCCCCGGAUCAGCCUCAGCCCACUCAUCAAACUCCAAGAGCUCCGAAAACUCAAAACUCCCAUAAUUAUCACUCCGCGACGACUCAAAAGACCGAAAACCCGUAUCGUCCAUGCUUAUCACCGAAACGAGGUCCCUCAAGAUGUACUUGUAAUUCCAUAUUUACCUAGUUACGUAUCCUUCGUGUCACCUUCCUAGGAGUCAUGGAGUGAAGAAGCUUCAUAGGUUGAUGCAUAAUCCUGGCUGCUAGCUCGGGCCAAGAAAAUACUCCAUCCGUCCCCUUUACAUGUCCAUUUUGCUUUUCGAGGAGUCAAAUUAAUCAAUUUUUGACUAAACAUUUCAAAUUAUCUACUUAUUAUUUUUAAAAUCUGAAAGUUGCAAGUUGCAUAUUAAAGUAGAUUAAAUAUACUUUCUAAUGGUAUAAUUUUUAUUAUUUUUCUCAAUUAUCUAAUACAUGUAAAGUUCAGUUAAAAUAUAGUCAAUUUGACUGAUCAAAAGUCAAAAUGAACAUUAAAAAGGGACGGAGGGAGUAUAAAAUAUCAAGUCAUGUCAUGAUGCUGAAAUAAGAAGGCACAAGAGAGUGGGAUAUGAUGAGCUAAGAAGACUUGUGCGUAGACUUGUGUGUGUCAUUUCUUUUGGCUUGUGUGCUCGUGGCUAGACGAUAUCAAAACUCGUAAACCCCCUUCACAACGGAAAGGAACUGAAUUGAGAGUGGGACCGGAUGUGGAGAUGAUUGUUGCGGAGUUAUGGUUUAGAUUCUUGCACGCUUAAGUUUAAAGUGAGUGCACGAGGUUGGUUUGCCAUUUAUCUUUACUUAAAGCGGGAUUCUAGAUUUUAUAAACAAAAUAUAUCAAUUCUUCCGUUCCCAUAAUUUAUUUUCAUUUAAUUUUAUAUUCCUACUAAAUUUUCCACGACUUGUUUUAUAAACUAAAUAUUAAUCAGUUCAAUGUUCAUCUUUGCUUUUCGGUUUGUCGCUCAUGGGCACAUAUUAAGCACUCAAAUUCAUGAAUUUGGAGGGUUUUGAUUAAUGUGGUUGUUGUAAAUGCAGAGGGUCCAUCAUUAUUAGAGAGCGUAAGCCAAUUAAAAGUCUCCAAAUUUAUGUAUUUGAUUGUUUAGCAUGUGCCCAUGGACACACACUAGAAAAACCAUUCUUAUUUUUUACUUUUAUUUUACAUAUUUUCUUAAUCUCGAAUCAACCCAAAUUACGAGGAAUGUUUUCUUUUUUUGAGGAGGAAUAUUUAACUACGACGAAGGUAAAAGGUAACUCGUUAUCCUACAUAUCAGGAGGAAUGAUUAUCAUUUUUUUUUUCCGGUCCCAAAAAGAGCCUCCACAUUAAAUUAAUAUGAUAAAAUCAUGUUAAUUUUUUUUUGAUUUUUUUGGAAUUAGAACAUAAAAUUUUGAUUUCAUUAUAUUUGAAUAAAAAGUUGAUUUUAACGGGGUCCAAUAAAAAUGAUAAGAAAGGAAUCAUAUUUUUUUUUAACUUAGAGUGGAUCACGGUAACUACAAAUUUUUAACACAAAAUGAAUCAUGAAAGAUAUAAAAUUGAAUUUCCGUGUACCGAAAAUCGUAUCAUGAUAAAAGACCAGUAUAUUAUCUAAUAGAGCUUGAGGUUUCAUAAUCUAAAUCAAUUUUUGUGACUCCGAUUCAAAUAUAUAUAAUCACAUACUCUCUCCAUACUCUCUCCGUCUCAAUUUAUAGGUCCAGUUUGAAAAAAAAAAUUGUCCCAAAAUACUUGUCCCUCUCUUCUUUCAAUACAAAUUUAUCUACAUAUUAAUUGUAAUUUUUUUGAAACUCAACAUUAUUUUCAUUUCUCAAUGCACUAAAUCCCUAUAUUUAUUGUGAUUUUUUUGAAACUCAACCAUAUUCUCACUUAUCAAUGCACUAAUUAAUGAUACAUGAGAUAAGAUUCUAUCUAAUCAACUUUUUUCUUAAUAUGUGUUUAUUCCAAAAUGGACCUAUAAAUUGAGACAGAUGAGUAUUUCUCAAACUACCACAAACACUUGAAAAGUCUUUCCUAAAAUAUAUACACAUCUAUUCUCAUUGAUCCUUCAACUGUUCAACAUUCUGGUCACGUCGAUACCCCCGAGGCCCCGACUUGUCUGUUCAUACCGAUACAAUUUUUGUAAAGGACUCGUGUUUCACGGGCCAUUUAUCCAACUAGAGACCUCUCAACACUUCGAGACUAAUGUCAACAUGCUAGCAAGUAUUGUAAUGUGAAUAUCCACGUAUAUGUUUCAUGUCAAUGCGAGGAAAUUCCUCGAAUUACGUAAGGUUACACAAAGUAGUUACUUAUGGUUGAGUAAGCAUUUUAAUAGAAAACAAAGUGGAGAUAGUGAUGAGGAAAUUACAAGGAACUUUGAUCUGUGGAACAUACACGAAGACUUGUCAAGUAUCUAGAGCGUCUUAGUUAUUUUGGAUUUCUCCUUUUCGCUCUGCCGUUAAAUUAAUUAGAAAGAUCGACAUGAUGUGUUUGACUUGGACUGCUUAUUACUUUAUCAGCGGAGGUGUAAGUUAGCCAAAAAGGCCAAUAAGUUAUGGAGGGCGGUAAAAUAAAAGUAGACCUAAUAAUUUUAAACGAUUUUAUGUGAAAUUUGAAUUUGAGUCGGAGUUUUUUGGAAUUUGAGGUGAUUUCAGAUGGAUUUAAAAGGUGUUUAUCCAUUUUAAAUAAUGAAUUCAAAUGAUAGAAAAUGAGUUGUCUUAGAACUUAUCAUAUUAGAUGGUGUCAUGAAUUUCAAAUAAAAUCUAAUUUCAUAUUUUCUGACAAAUAUUAGUUCAAAUUUACAAUUUCAAAUAAAAUUCGAAUUUCUAAACGAACACUACUAGAAUUCUCGAGUACUGCAACAGAAUUUUGCAACGGAAUUACUUCCGUCGUGAACCACUGACGGAAUAACAACAGCUUGUGGGAGGAAUCUUGACAACGAAACUCAUCAAACUAAUUUUAAAAAUAAAUCAUUUUUAGAUAAAAUCCGGAUAAUCUAAAACUGAUUCGAAAUCACUCAAGUCCCGUGUCGCUUUUGGUGGCGAAAUCAAUUGCGAGUUAUAGUUAAUUAGAGUGUAAAGGAUUUGGCAUCAUUUCAUUUCUACCUAAAUUAGGCAAGGCACCAGUUAAGAAAUGUAUGCAGCAUGCCCAGCCAAUCAUAUUGUGCCAACAAAAAGAAAUAUAUUUGACUUCGUUGGUGGCAUAUAAUCCACUUGAGUUGAGGGGCACAAAGACAUAAAAUGACUUUUUUUCUUCGAUAAUAAAAUAAUGCGUCUGAUUUAUCUGAAGUAUCGAGAGCAACUUCUGCAUACUAGUAAUAUUAUAUUCUAAAUUAAAUUAAGUUCGUCAAAAAAGAAUACUCUUAAUUAAGUAACCUAACAUCUUAACAGAGUAUUUUAAUCAUUUCUAAAAUUUAAAUAUCUAUUCACUCAUAGUUUCUAGAAAUGAAAUGUUGUUUUUAAUAUUAUUUUCUGAAUAAAAUAUUCACAACCUUUUUCACAUUUAUUAUAAUAAUUAGGUGAAAAACAAAAUAAAGAUGCCAGGUUAUAUGACGGUCACCAAGAGAAGCGUCCAUUUGAUUUACCAUGACCUUCUUCAUCUCAUCAAAUUCAUCCUUCAUGAAUUUCUGAACUUCUUAGGCGUUACUAUCAAGAGUCCGCGUCCUAAUGAUCUUAAAAUAAAAUGCACAGUCACAUACUCACAUAGUCUCUAAGAAUUUCUGGGCUAAGAAUUUCUGAUAGAGCAGAAACAGUAUGGAUAAAUGAUCUGCAACAGUAGCAUCCCUACCACAUAUGUUAAUAAUAAUAAAUUAAAUCAAGAAUAAAAGAACGACAAAGGCAAGUACGCUCUGGACCCCAACACAGAAAUAAACACACCUUGGAUGAUCCAAGUACUUUAUCCUUGUGGUGAUAAUACCUUGGAUCAGUGUUGUAAAAAGCGAGAAUCAGACUUAAUCGGUGAAGUUAUGGAAUAAGGAUUAAUCGGAGAUUAAUUGAAUUGAUCAGGUUUUAAUCGGAUUGAUCGAUGAUUAAUCAGAGAUUUAAUCAAUUGGGCGAGCUAUGGAACAUGGAUUAAUCGGUGAUUAAUCGUGAUUAAUCACCGACUUUUACAACAGAGCCUUGGAUGGUCAAGUACUUUAUAAUAUCUGCCGAACUAACUGCCGGUUUUUAAUUAGGAAUCUCCAUAACAGGAACAUAAUUACCAUUAACAAACAACUUUUAGCAUUUAUAACUCAGAUUCUGACUGGGUGGUGCUUUGUAGCUGUAAUUUGUACAAAAAAUUACAUUACACCAAAAGACUUUUCUGUGUAACUGAGAGCUGAUUUUGGACGGAUGGCAAAAUCAAAAGAAAAGAAAAAGAAAUCAUCUAGUAAAAUGAAACAGUGUGCUAAAUUAACAGUGCACAAUAAAUAAAAAUCAAAUACAUCACAAAGCUUGGAAUCAAACACUACUAAUUACAAAGCUCUUAAACCUAUCUUUAGCACAUAUACGAGUUUCCUGAAAUAUACAAAGCAUACGGAACAGAACAGGAGAAGAAAUAAAGAAGAGAUGAUACAAACAGUAAGGGUGAGACCCGACGAGUGAGAUAAUACAGCAGAAGUCCCUGCAAUGAAGGCUAGCAUCAUGGCUGCAACCGAAACAAUAUUGAACGCUAUAGCGACGAUAAGCAAGGAUUCUACCACUGAUAUCCUCUGGUACAGUGAUGUCAAGAAGUAGAGAAACAGCGAAGAAAGUGAAAAUAGGAGAGCCAUUGCAUCUGUUACCAUAAAUGUCUUAAAGGCCGUCUUGUGUAUAAGCAGGGGAGACCCUUGGUUUGGACCUUGAUUGCCGUCGAAACCACCUGGCAUGGCAAACCCUGCUGUCAAGGCAAUUGUUGUUAUGAGGGCAGCCACUAUCAUAUGGGUGUUCACCAUUUCUUUGUUGAAUUUUUCACUUCCCACGUCACCACUUUCAUCUUCACCUCCCAUUGCUUUAUCUUUAAUCCACUCUGUCAAAAGGUAUCUGUUGUAGGUUUUAUCAAGUGUUGCUCCAAUAAGUGCCUGGACGAUUGUCAAGUAAUGUUGAGUAAGUAUACAAAUUAAUUUUAUUUAGUAAUAGUUCUAGUUGAGCGUAUUCUUUCCCGUUUUUCUUGAUAUUUUAUUCUCCAUGUAGAUAUAUGAUUAUCAACAUGGAGAAUAAAAAAUAACAAUAUGUAUCGUGUAAAUAACAAUGUGUUUUUAAACACAACAAAAAUAUAUAUUAAUAACUAAUUUUGAAAUGAUAUGAAACGUACCAUUGUGAAUGUUGAAUAUUUCUAACUAAAAAAACUCAAAUUUAUAUGAAUCAUGCAAAUACUAAUAUGUUUUUGAGCCCAACAAAAAUAUAAAUUAGUAACUAAUUUAGGUACGAGAUAAACUAGCUGGCAAAAUUAAAUAAUUUUAAGUCCAUGAUAAGGAAUUUGAGCUCCAAAAUCAAAAAUAACAAUUAAUUAAGGACAGUGUAAAUAUCAGUGGUGUAAAAAGAGGAAAUUAGACUUAAUCGAUGAAGUCACGAAACAAGAACUAAUUGGGGAUUAAUCUGAUGAUCAGUGAAAUAAUCUGAUAUUUAAUCAGUUCAGUGAAUUACGGAGAAGGGAUUAAUCGAUGAUUAAUCACCAACAUUUAGAAAAAAUUAAGAUAAUUAGAUAGUAGUAUAAAGCUAGCCCUUGAGUCACAUAGUAAAGUGCACUUACCUCCUCAUCGAUCAGGGUUCCAUUUUUUUUUCCUUGCAGCACAUCUGCGGGAGUCCAAUUCGUGUUAUCGACUGCAUCCCAGUCAGCUUUCCAAAUCCAGUCGUGUCUACCAUCAAGCUCCGGAACAUAACAUUCAAAUUUUGCAAUUAGGUGAAGAGGGGUGUUCCCUUCUUUAUCUUUUUGAUUAAGAAAAUCAAUCCUCAAACGACUAACUUCUUCACUUGAGAAGAAGAAUUUAAGCACGGACUUCUGGCGUUGCUUCACGGCAAUAUGCAAAAAAUUCUGACCAUUCUCGUCUACAGUCUCCAAAAUAUCCGGCACUGUAAAUACAAGUGCAUUUAUCACACUUACACUUCCUUUGUAUGCUGCUAUGUGAAGAGCUGUUCUCUUAUGUUUAUCCGUUAAAUACGCCACAGAUUGAUCUGCCUUCAAUAAGUAUAUAACGGAUACAAAAUUAUUGUUGUUUGCCCCGUAAUGCAAUGCCGUCCAUCCGUUAUUGUCCGCCGACUUUAUAAGAUCUUUGUUCUUUUCCCCUAAAAGUAUCGAGCAUUCUGACAUAACAUGAUGAAGAAAUAUAUAACUAUUAACGAAAAAAUGGAGAAGAAGAAGAAGUUGAGGGCAUGCAUGAUGUUCCAGGUGAAACUGAAUGUAAAUAUUAUGAGAUACCGAUUGAGCACUAAUAAGAAAUCGGAAAUUAAUCGGAGUGAAAAUCGGUUAUAUUUUAAUAUUAAAAUAUUAUUUAAAUUUUGUAAUUAUUAUAUUAGUUAUUUAAUUAAUAAUAAAUAUAUUUACUGUAUCAUAAAUUCUAUAAUUGUUUAUAUUUAAAACAAUAUUAGUAUUUUAAUUUUAAUAAUAUAUUACAUAUACUUCGAUUAAGAAAAAUGUAUAAAGAUUUAAUCUGAUUUCAAAAUUGAGUCGGUCGGCCAUUUGUAAGGGAUUAAUCUGUCAAUUCGGAGAUUUUGAAAAAACUGGAUAUCGAUAGAAAUUUAAAUAAUAUUAGCUAUUUAAUAAUAAAUAUAUUUACUAUAUAAAUAAAUGAUCGAAACGGAUAUUUGGCAUAAUAAUAUUCAAAUUGUCCGUCUUUUAAUGUAAGCAUGCCUAUGUUAACAAAUUUAAUACUGCCUCACCCCAUCAAUUGUAUACUCCCUCUAUUUUUCUUUAGAGAUCACACCUAUAUUCAUCAGGUGCUGUGACCGCAUAAUAUAAAAUAAUAUUUCUGAAUUUUUCAUUUUCUUAACUAAAAUAUAUAACUAAAAUUUUGAUUCAUAAAAAGUUUAAAAAAUAAAAACUUUUGUAAUGCAUAUAAAUGACUAAAAAGUUCAAAACACAAUUUGUAUACAAAUAAACGGGACAUAAGAUAGCAGAUUGUGCAGGACAUACCAUAUCCCUCAGCAUUCAUCAAGCUAGCAUGUAAAGCCGUUCUUCCAUCUGGCCCUUCGUAGGUUAGCGAUUCACAAUUAUUAAGAAUUACUUUGAUCACAUCCGUUAAACACCUAAACGCCGCCAAGUAGAGUGGAGUUUCAUUAUGCUUAUUCUGAGGAUACGAGUAACUCGGAUCUUCUUUUACCAACAGUUCAACCACAUCCUUGUGAUUGUAUCGAACUGCCGCGUGCAAGGCCGUCUCCAGUUCCAAGUGAUUAGCUGCUCUAAUCAGAUUUUGAAGGAGGGUAGGUGAUGUGUUUUGAACCCAGGACUUGACGGUACUAAUGAGUGCUGUAACCGCAUCAUAGUGUCCAUUUCUUGCGGCUAGGUGAAGAGCAGUAUCGCCUCUUGAGUUGACCUGCAAGACUAGUGAUUCAUCGGCUCUGCUCAGAAUCUCGUUCAGACAUGCUAGGCUCCCUGUUUGGCAUGCAAGGUGAAGCACCGUGUUAUUUGCAGGUGUCAGUUGAUCACGGACUGUAAUCCAGUCGUGCUCCUUGAAGGCAACAAGGUUAUUAUCGCAGACAGCUCGGUACAACUCAGGAUGCAUAUGAUUCAUUGUGUAGAGAUGAUUGUUUAUAUGAUCACCUAACCUUAAACUAGUACUCAUAUUUAUAGACACUGGGGCGCUCUUCUGGUACAAAUAUGUGCAAGUUGCGAAUUUAAUACGUAAUAUAUUAUGGUGGUGUUUGUUUACCACUUAAAAGCCCGACUUCUAGAGUUAUAAGUUAGAAGCGUUUAUUUGUACCGUUUGUAUAAAAAGUCAAGAAGUACUCAUAAAAAGUUAAUCACGAAUGCUGACUUUGUUUCGGGGGCUUCAACUUUUUUUCCAAACACUUUAAUCACUCCUUAGGGUCGGUUUGGCGUUUGGGUGAGCUAAGACCUAUAAGUGAUAAAAGUGUUUGGGAAAUAAAUAGAAACCGUGAGACAAAAGCUAGUUAUCGUAGCUUUUUAUAAGUACUUCUUGACUUCUUAUACAAACGGUGCAAAUAAGUGUUUCUAAUUUAUAAUUCCAGAAACCGGGAUUAUAAGCCCGUGACAAACACCCUACUCUAUUUUUUUAUUUUAAGCAGGAAACACUUAUUUUAUAAGCUCACGACUCACCCAAACGGCCCUAUAUAUGACAAUUCUCGGUGCUUUUCAGUUUUUAAAAAGUCAAACUGAUUUAUUUUUAAAUAAUUAUUAAAACAAUGAUAUAUUUAUUAUUUUAGAAAAUAAGUAAUAUAUUGAUACUCUUGGCCGGUAUCUUUCAGUUUUUAAAAGGUUAUAUUGAUCAAUUUUUAAAUAAUUAUUAAAAAAUUAUAUAUUUAUUAUUUAAGAAACAGAAGUUACAUUUAAAAUAUGUUAGAUGUACUAAUUGAUAAUUUUUUUUAUUUUACUUUUACAAUUAUAUAAUGUAUAUAAAUAAUAAAGGGAAUAAAUAAUGGGUCAUGUAUUUUAGAACAAAGGGAAUAAAUAAUUUCUACCUAACAAUAAUCAGUCGCCACUUUGCUCUCUAAAAAAUAUAUAUGCUCCACUGGGGUUAAUUAUUCUGAUACUCAUGUGAACAUGGAGCAUCUUAUUCAUAUACUAACGUUAAUCAGCAGUGAAUUGAAUUGAUUAUCUUAAACGUCACCUAGAUGUAUAUAUCGAAGACGUAGGUAAUAUUAAAAUUUCAACAUAUCAAUUAUUGUCGUAAAAAAGUACGUUUGAACAGGUCUCCGGCAAUAGUUAAUUUUCUGGGGUACACCAAAAAAUAUAUAAUAGUUAAUCUCCAUCCUCUUUUACAUAUUUUUUUGGGAGAAAAAAACAUGUCAAAAAAUAUAUUUGUUUCUCUUUUCAAAGUAUCUUUUAUAUGUAUUUACACAAAAUACUUUUAAAAAAUUUUCAAUCGUGAUCUAAAAAUUUAAACUUAGAUAUUCACAACCCCCUCCAACUAUGAACUGAAAAAUGAUUCAAAAUUGGAUAAAUAAUGAUACCUGUUAUAAAAUAAUAUAUUAAGUGAUUGUCAAAAGCUUAGUCAAGAAGACUCGCAAAUCUUAUCAAGUAAGUUUGGUGAAACUUACUAAGGAAGACUCGCAAAGCUUAUCAAGGAAGUCCGACGAAACUUACUAAAGAAGACUCGCAUAGCUUAUCGAGGAAGACUUACGAUACUUACUCGAGAAGAAUCGUAAUACUUAACCUAGAAGUAUUGCAAAUCUUAGUUAGGAAGAUUCAUCAACCAACCUCUAUAAAUAGCUGGUUCAGUUGAAAUGAAUUCAAUUCUGAAAUAUUCUGAAAUACAACUACUUUCUCUCUCCAUCUCCUAUUCUCUUUAUACUUUCCAGAAUAGUUUCCUUUUCUUAUUUUUGUAUAGUUUAAUAGUAUAUAUUACAAGAUUUACAACACGUUAUCAGCACGAGACUCUGCCGAACUGAGAUAUGCCAAAGAAGGACUCUGCCAAACUGAGAUAAGUCAAACAGGUACAUCAUAAACAGGUACAAUCUAACCAACUCUAAAUACUGCGACUUUCACAGAAAUAAGGUACGAUCUAUCUCUACUCAUUUUACGAUUAUUACUAUCGUUAUAGCUUAUGACUUUACUAUUGCUUGAUUUGUUAAUGGCGACAAUGCCGUUAAAACUUUUUAGUUAUAUCAUACUGUAUAGAUAUUAAAUUGUUUUUGUAUUAACUUGAAAUAUUGAUAGGUCAUGUUUUAAAUAUUUAUUUUACAUUCAGAAUGACGAACCUUGUAAAAUUAGAAUUUGUUGCCUUGGAUGUUUCUGGGAAUAAUUAUCUAUCUUGGUUCCUUGAUGUGAUAUUACACCUUAGUGCUAACAGCCUAGGACACUAUUGAUUUAGAAAAUAAUCCCCAUUGUUUAACAAAAUGUCAAACCAAUUAUCUUUCUAAGACAUCACAUCCAUGAAGACCUAAAAUCUGAAUAUCUCAUUAUCAGAAAUCCCCUUACCCUUUGGAAUAAUCUCAAGGAUAGAUUUGAUCACCAGAAACCUAUUCACUUACCAUCUGCCCGUUUUGACUGGUUGAUUUGAGGUUACAAGAUUUCAAAUAUGUAGCUGAAUAUAAUUCUGUUUUUUUUUUCAAGAUAAGCUCAAAUUAAUUUUGUAUGGUGAAAAUAUUAUUGAUGCUGAAAUAAUUGAAAAGACCCUAUCAACUUUUCACCCAAAUACUAUGAUUUUGGCACAACGAUAUAAAGAGCGGAGUUUCCAAAAAUAUGGUGCGAUGGUAUAUCUCCUUCUUGUGGUUGAAAAGAAUAAUGAGUUGCUAUUGAAAAACCAUCAGAUUCGUCCCAUAGGCUCUGCCCAGGUACCUGAAGUACAUAACACGUCAUUCCUGAAGAAUGAACGUGGGAAAGGGCAUAGAGGAGGACGAGGUUAUGGACGAAACUGUGGACGUUGAAAUUUCCAUAGUCGGUUUCGAAAUCAAUAUCAUUCUGGCCACCUGAAGGGGCAACGUGAUGGUUAAAACUCAGGCCACUAGAAAUGACAACGUGAAGUGCCAAAAGAAAGGCAUCCAAGAAGGAGAGAACCGAGGCAUAUGUCAUUGGUGCGGAUCUGAGGGACAUUGGCAAUGUACCUAUCGCACACCUAAACAUCUUGUUGAUCUGUAUGGGUUAUCCAAAAGAAUAAUGGAAAGAGAGUAGAAACAAACUUUUCUAAUUAUAAUCUAGUUGAUGAACCAAUCAAUAAGGUCUCAAAUGAAAUAGAUACUGGUGCUAACCUUUAUUAUGGUUGAGAGGACUAGACUUCAUACGUAUUGUCUUGCUUUACUUAUUACCUUUAUGUUUUACUUAUUUUCUUUAUCUGCUUGUUUCAUGUUGUUGUUUGGUAUACUCGGUGUGUUUUUAAAAGAUGUUUUUCAUUUAUAUAUGUAUAGAGAUGGAAGAUAUAUGCAUUAUUGAUUGCACAACCACACACUAUGUUAAAAACUUAGAAAUACUUUCACAGUUGACUAAUAAAACCAACUUACAUGUCUGGACGGUAUUGGGUACAUCAUACAUAAUAGAGGUUUCUGAGAAGCUAGUUUUAUUCUGCCAAAUAAGACGCACAUAAGAUGCUCUAUACUCUAGAAAGGCAACUAGAAACCUACUAAGGUUUAAAGAUACUCGUUUGUAAUGGUUUCACGUUGAAACUACUGAUGAGAAUGAAAAAGAAUAUCUUCUCAUCACCUCAAACACCGUUGACAAUAAAAAGGUCUUUGAAAAAUUUCACUCAAUUUCUUCAGGAUUAUAUGUUACAAGAAUAAGAGCUAUUGAAUCUCAUAGUGUCAACAUUCCCAAAGUCACAAACCUAAAACUACUUUUCCCUUGGCAUGAAAGGCUUGAUCAUCUAGGAAUAUCUAUGAUGCGUCAUAUUAUUAAAGAAUCUAGAGGACAUCCUUUUAUAACUCAAAAGGUAAUGCCCAAGGUGAACUUCCUUGUUCAGUAUGUUCCUUAAAAAGUUUUGAUUGUCUGAUCAUUCCUAGUUAAGCUUCAAACUGAAUCCCCGAAAUUCUUAGAAAGAAUUCAAGGUGACAUUUGUGGUCCUAUUCAUCCAUCUUCUGGCACAUUUAGGUACUUUAUUGAUGCGUCAACUCGAUGGUCCCUUAUAUGCCUUUACCAAAUUACUUGCCUUAAUAAUCAAUAGAGUAAAGAGCUAUGUGAGCUACAAUUAUUUAGUAUCUUGUCAAAUAGUAGUUCACAAAUAAAAUCGAAUCAUAUGAUUGUCAUAGACAAUCUUUUGGUUAACUGGUCAUUAAAAAGAUUUUAGAGAUACUAGUGGGGGACUUUUGAUAAUUGAAGAAUGUGCCCUUAUUGCAUUGUCACAAAGAACUACACUGAGGCACAAUAGUAUAUAUGCUGGUUUUGAUUCUUCGUUUAAUAUAAGGUAUCUAGAGCCAUUAACUGGUGAUAUUUUUUCUGCUCAGUAUGCUGAUUUUCAUUUUGGUGAAUCUAUAUUCCCUAAAUCAGGGGGAGAAAAUAUUUUGCAUAAAUUAUGUGAUAUCUUCGAAUGCAUCAGUUUUGAAUUAUAUUGAUCUACUAAUAAUAUGGGUCAUAACUUCAAAGAGUUAUUUAUAUGCAAAAUAUUGAUAAUCAAUGCCGAAUUCUUUUAGUGAUUUUUAGACAUAUUAUCACACAUACAUGCUAUUAAUGCUUUGGUAAGGAUUGAAAUCCUGAUUUAUAAAGCAAUUUUUGAAGAAUUGGUUAGAAUAUAAUAAGCACGCCGGAAGCGUGGGAAAUCUAUUCGUACAUAUGAUAUUGUACUGUGAAAUUACAAAUUGAUUAUACUUGCCCCAGAAGUGGCAAGCUUUUUGAUAUAUACCCUAAAAGCGGUAUUACCCCUUGUAGAGGUUAUUCUUUUAUGAAACGGAAAUUAAUUAGACUUGCCAAGAAGUGGCAACAAUUCCAUAAAAUACCCCAGAAGUGGUAUUACCUCCUGAAGAGGUUUGAGCCCCUGAAGUGGCUGAAACAAAAUUCCUAGAAAUGGGAUUAUCUCUGAAAGAUGAUAUUGUCCCAGAAGUGACAAAUACAUACCCCAGAAGUGGUAUUGCCUCCUGAAGAGGUUCAAGCCCCUGAAGUGGCUGUGACAAAUCCUCCUGAAGAGGAAAUUGCCCCAGAAGUGGCACAUGCCCUAGAAGUGGCAAAUGCCCCAGAAGUGGCAAAUGCUUCCAUGGAAGCAAAGGUACCUGAAAGUUAUGAGAUCUCUAUAAUUUAUGUACAUAAAGGGAAAUUAUUGGAUCGUGAGAGUACUAAGAUUGAUGAUGUGUAUGUUUUUCCGUGAUAUGUGAUAUUAUUAUAAACUCCGAUCCUAAAGUGUCGACAAUGAGAUGAUUGGAUCGUGGGAGUAUUGAGAUUGAUGAUAUGUAUGUGAUAUUAUUAUAAACUCCGAUCCUAAACCACAAAGUGUGGAGAAGUGUCGACAAUGAGAUAAUUGGAUCGUGGGAGUAUUGAGAUUGCGAUAUGUAUGCAAUAUUAUUAUGAACUCCGAUCUUGAACCACAAAGUGUGGAAGAGUGUCGACAAUGAUAUGAUUGGCCAAAAUGAAAAAUUGCAAUCUAGGAAGAAUUGCAAUUCUUGCGCAAGGUAAAUGUAUAUGGACCUAUAGUUUAAACACCAGCUGGUGAAGUCCCUGUUGGGAAUAGAUGAGUAUUUGUAUGAAAAUGAAAUGAGAGAUGAAAUUGUGAGAUAUAAAGCUUGGUUGAUAGCCCAAGGAUUCUCUCAGAGACCUGGAUUUGAUUAUUAGGAAACAUACUCUCCUAUAAGGGAUCCCCUGUUGGGAAUAGAUGAGUAUUUGUAUGAAAAUGAAAUGAGAGAUGAAAUUGUGAGAUAUAAAGCUUGGUUGAUAGCCCAAGGAUUCUCUCAGAGACCUGGAUUUGAUUAUUAGGAAACAUACUCUCCUAUAAGGGAUAGAGUUACUUUUAUUUCCUAAUGGGUAUAAUUUUAAUCACCAGGAAAUAUACUCUCCUGUAAUGGAUGGAGUUACCUCUCAUUUUAUAAUGAGUAUGGCUUUGGAAACACGUCUGAUGGACGUUGUGAUAGCAUACUUUUAUAUAUCACUUAAUAGUGAUAUUUUUAUGAAAAUCCCUGAAGGAUUAGAGAUAGAGGACACUAAGCCUUGACAUUUAUAUUAUGUUAUAUCCCAACGAUUAUUAUAUGGUUUGAAACAAUUUGGUCGUAUGUGGUACAACAUGCUUGGUAAAUAAUUAUUGAAUGAUGGAUAUGUUAAUCACCAGGUAUGUCUUUGCAUUUUUAUUCAACGUUCACCAACCGUUUUUGUUAUAAUUGUUGAUAUGUGGAUGAUUUGAAUAUUAUUGGUACUUUUGAAGAUAUUACUAAUGCUAUUAACCAUUUGAAAAAUGAGUUUUGAAAUGAAAGAUCUUCGAAAGACAAGAUUUUAUUUAGGUAUACAGGUGGAACACUUAUCUUCAGGCAUAUUUGUUUAUCAAUCAAACUACAUUGAAAAGGUCCUUGAUCGGUUCUAAGUGGACAAAGUUCAUCCACUAACCACGUCAAUGGUUUGUCAAUCACUUGAGGUUGAAAAGGAUCCCUUCCGUCCUAGAGAACAGGAUGAAUAAGCACUCGAAUCUGAAGUUUCCUACCUUCGUGCAAUUGGAGCCCUUAUAUUGCAUUUGUUGUGAACCUGUUGGCGAGAUUCAAUUCUGGCCCAACUAAAAGAUGCUGGAUACAUGUCAGAUCUUCACUUUGGGCGAUUACAAACAAAGUUACUGGAAAUUCAUGAAGCAAGCAAAUGAUGUAUUUGGUUAAGACAACUCAAGAAAAGACAUAUCUAAGGAGAUCGAACAAAACACAUAUUGUCAGAAUUCUUCUAUACUCAGGAGUUUCAAGAAAAUGGUGAUAUUGAUGUACAACAAGUUCGUUCAUCCAAUAACCUGGUGGAUAAACCUGCAAAGUCAUUACCGACAUCAACAUUUGAGAAGUUACGAAGUUAUAUGGGUAUACGAAGAUUAAAAGGUCUACUAGAUCAAGAUGUCGAAAUGUGAGUAAUUUAAUUCAGGGGGAGACUGUACUCUUUUUCCUUCGACAAGGUUUUUAUCCCACUGGGUUUUUCCUUGCAAGGUUUUAACGAGGCAGUCAAUCUCUAUGAUAACUCGCAUUUGACAAUCAAGGGGGAGUGUUAUAAAAUAAUAUAUUAAGUGAUUGUCAAAAGCUUAGUCAAGAAGACUCGCAAAUCUUAUCAAGUAAGUUUGGUGAAACUUACUAAGGAAGACUCGCAAAGCUUAUCAAGGAAGUCCGACGAAACUUACUAAAGAAGACUCGCAUAGCUUAUCGAGGAAGACUUACGAUACUUACUCGAGAAGAAUCGUAAUACUUAACCUAGAAGUAUUGCAAAUCUUAGUUAGGAAGAUUCAUCAACCAACCUCUAUAAAUAGCUGGUUCAGUUGAAAUGAAUUCAAUUCUGAAAUAUUCUGAAAUACAACUACUUUCUCUCUCCAUCUCCUAUUCUCUUUAUACUUUCUAGAAUAGUUUCCUUUUCUUAUUUUUGUAUAGUUUAAUAGUAUAUAUUACAAGAUUUACAACAAUACCUUUCAAAUUUGGAUUACUACGCUUCACCGGUACAAAUUUUUACGAGCUGAAUUAGGAAGAAAUAUUGUAUGCAGCAUGCCCAGCCAAAUUGUGCCAACAAAAAGACUUGUUGGUAGUAUAUUAUCCACUUGGGUUGAGUGGCACAAAGACACAAAAUGACUUUUCUGCGACAAGAAAAUAAUAUUACGUCUGAUUUAAUAUUUAUCAGAAGUAUCGAGAGCAACUUCAGCAUACUAGUACUAUUAUUUUUAAAUUAAGUAACCUGACAUCUUAACAGUAUUUUAAUCAUUCUUAAAAUUAAACUAUCUAUUCAAUUCAUAGUUUUUAGAAAUGAAAAGUUAUUUUAAUUCUUUUUCCCUCUCACUUUUUUAAUAAACCGCACUAAUUAUUUCUCUUCAUUCUUUAAAUAAGCUCCACAAAUUCUAUUCAUUUCUUUUUCCAUUUUAUAUUACUUUUUCAUCAAUAUAUCUUAUUAAAGUAUGGAUUAAUUUCUUUUAUGUUCAUAAAAAUAUUAAAGUACUGAACCACAUGAUUCUUCACCUGACAGAAAAUUACAAUAUUACUUCUAGCUAGGGUAAUUAAGUUGGCCGCAGCCUGCCUCUGAUGGGUAAAGUGUGCAUGUUUAGCAUGAAGAACAUUGCAGGUAUGAACUUUGUUCAUGAAAACAAACCUUGAUUAAAAUCAUCUGCAAGUACUGGAUAUGUUCUUUCUUCUUCCAUAACUUCGAUGGUUUUCGCAGUGAAAUCGAAAUAUUUUGCUAUAACUUAAUGACUUGUAAUUUUUAAGGCCUGUAAUUAAGUUAAUUAUUAUCAACUUCACUGAUUUUAAUGUACUAGCUUUACUGUAAAAGAUAACGAAAACUAUGCUGAAAAAUAAAAUAGAGAAAAAUUGUCUUAAGAUUUUGAAAAUAUUAAUUAUCCUCCUAACGAAUGCACUAAUCCAUAACAACAACAAAAAAUCCAAUUUAAAGCACAAGUAGCUUUUCCUCACAUAAUGCAAGACCAACAACUUUCAAUCAAAAACUGAACUCCACCCUUGAACAAAUAGGUCUGAUUAAUAACUCAUUUUUUAAGAAAAACCUGUGAUUUCGGUCUUUAUCUUAACCUUUGCUUGUAUCAGUAGAGUAUCAUUCACUAUGAAGCCACUGGCCUUACUUUUAAGAUCACUCAACAACAAGAACUCUGCAGGACCCCAGGAUUUAUUUACGUCACUAGUGAAUUCCGUGGGACUAGUACUGUACCAUCUGUCUCCCCCUGAAACGAAAAAAAUUUGAAAUAUAUCAUUAUACCAUUGGUCUGAUCCUGCUUAGCAUUCUUUAUUUGAAAGUAAAUGUCUACACAGACCUGCAUAUUCACGAUAAUGAUCAGAUCCUUGAUUCUUUAUGAGCAGCCAGAACUCUACCAGAACUUUUUUCCCCGAUGGGGGGGCCUCGACCAACUCCAGAAACAAACCCAAACGGUCUUUAACACAAUAAUCCCCGUUCGGAUAUAGCCUUAAAUGCCUUAAUCAUGCAAUACAACGAAACAAAGUUCAAAAAAACGAAGCAAUUACUGUCAGGGGGAGUUUGAAUCGUAUGUAGAACGAGAAUCAAGCGUAUGGGAAUGAGAGACAUGAGAACGGAUAUCUCAAGUAGAGUGUAAAAUAUAAUUUAGACUCCAAAUGAGAUUGGGGUUCAAUCUACAUACUGAUACAUGAAUUUAAGAUUCCCGUUCUCGUUAAUCGGAUUGAUUAACCAUAUACUUAAUUUAAAUUUUAAAAUGAAAAUCUUAGAGCCCCUGCAAUAGCUUUAACAUGUUCUUGCCAAUAUACAAAAACAAAUUAAAUACUCCCUCCGUUUCAAAUUAGAUGUCCACUUUAAAAAAAUCACACAGUUUAAGAAAAGUGAUCUUUUACAAAUUAGUUGCAUUAAAUGACUAUAAUAUGGUCGAUCUAGGAAAUAUAAAUAAGAGAUAUGUGGAGUAGAAUUGGCUUUGGAAAUAUGAUUUUGCAUUGAAAGUUGAAGGUGGACAACUAAUUUGAAACAAAUAAUUUUUCCAAAAGUGGACAUGUAAAUUGAAACGGAGGGAGUAGUAUAUUUAUCAUACUUGAAAGUUUAGCAAUUCCCAGAAUAUAUCAAUAAAUCAUCAUAAAAAACUUACCACUUGCUUUUUCCAACUGUAAAUUCCUCUGAAAUGAGAUUUUCACCGUUAAGCUUUUCUUUGCAGACUCUGGAAAACUCACAUACUUUCCAGUCGAAAGUGACUUCUAGGGGAUCCUCAAUCAUCUUUAUAGUCUCACCUAUUCCAGUAUCUUUAACCUCAAAAACUUCGACGCCAAAUACACAAGAAUCAUCAAUAAGAUAACCAUUUGCUGCAGCAUUGAAAGUCUCUAAUGUUAUCAAUCUGUCAAAACCACUUUCUUUCUUGGCGCGAUGAAACCGUCGAAUUUGAUGCCUCGGCUCAUCUUCAAAAAGAACCACACACAAGAAGACACAAAUCACUUAAUAGCAUGCCAGCAGAUCAGAACAGAAAUAUAAAAUGACAAACAAGGCCAAGACAUAAAUUAAUUAAAUAAGAAUGUCAAUGUCACAAUAGCAAAUUUUUCGAUACACACACCUUGAAUGGUCAGGUAUCGAUCCUUAUUGUGAUCAAACACAAACAUCUUGUAAGUUACAUUUGCCUCCCAACCAAGAGGAAGCGAGUCUGUCUUCUCUAUGGCUAAGUAAAGCGAUAUAUGUCCUCCACCCCCUCUUCUUGCGUUUCCAUUCGGGUACAAAAUUAAUCUCCUGCAACCAAAUAUAUACAAUAUAUAACAAUAUAAAUACUCAAACACUAUAAUCUAGCCUACUCUACAUAAUUAUAUGAUUUCAAUGUAAAAAAAAUGAAAUAGUAGUACCAUGUGUAACCACUGGCCUUAAACAUUGCAGAUUCAUAUUUUUCAGCUCCUAUAUCAACAAGUGAUGAUUAAAUGAAAAAGAUGAAUGCACAGAAAUAAUGGUGAUGAAACUAGAGACAACUUUCCAGACUCUUUUGCUCAAAGCAUAUUGUUUUCAUUCUGAAUAACUAUGGUGCAUACUCCUCAGCUAUAUGCUGAUAGGAUGGAAUCUUUUCCUAACAACCUUGUACUACUACUUCCAUAAUUGCCUUUAACAGAUGGCAUAAUACUAGAGUCCAGACAAAAUAACAUAACAGCUAGAGAAAGGAAAAGACAAUGACAAUAACGGUAAAUAAAGUGCUGCAGAUAGGUGGCUGACUAGGCAUUCUGUGGACCCUUCCUUCAUUACUCCCCUUCAAGCUGAGCUGAAGUUUUGACAGAAGCUCCAAGCUUGUGUAGAAGACUAUAAUGCUGUUUAACAGAGAGAGGUUUGGUGAGCACAUCAGCAAUCUGCGAAUGAGAUGGAACAUAGUGUGUAACAAUUGCUCCAGAUUGAACCUUGUCUCGAAUGUAAUGGCAGUCUAUCUCAACGUGCUUUGUGCGUUCAUGGAGCACAGGGUUUGCAGCAAUUGAGAUAGCUGCCAUGUUGUCACAUUGAAGAACAGUUGGUGGCAAGUUUGUGAGUCCCAUAUCUUGCAACAGAGCCGUAAUCCAAGUAAUUUCGCAAGCAGUGAGAGCCAUGGCUCUGUACUCCGCCUCAGCAGUGGACCUUGCAACUAUGUUUUGCUUUUUCGAUUUCCAAGACACAGGAGAAUGUCCCAGAAAAAUACAGAAGCCUGUUGUUGACCUUCGAGUGUUUGGGCAGCUAGCCCAAUCACUAUCGCAAUAAGCCUGGACUUGUGCUGCAGAUGAGGAUGCUAGAAGUAUACCUUGCCCUGGAUUGCUUAGUAAAUACCUUAAAAUUCGUUUGCCAGCCUGCAUAUGAACUGUGGUGGGGCUUUGCAUAUAUUGACUCAACACAUGGACAGGGAAUGUGAUGUCAGGCCUCGUGAUAGUUAAGUAAAUAAGCUUGCCGAUGAGCCUCUGAUAGGUGUAUGGAUCAGUCAAAAGAUCGCCCUUUGUAUGACCUAACUUAAGAUGAAUAUCCAUAGGCAACUUCAGAGGAGUGGCAUUGUGCAUGCCAAACUCAGUUAAGAGAUCUUUGGUGUACUUCUUUUGAGACAGAAAGAAGCCUGCAUCUGAUCUUUCUAUUUCAAUGCCCAGAAAAUAGCUUACAUCUCCGAGAUCUUUCAUGUGAAAAGAACCAGACAAGUAUGUCUUCAGGUUAAGAAUGGCUUCAUUUGAAUUGCCGGCAAUGAGAAGGUCAUCAACAUACACCAAGAUAAGUGUGAUUGAGUUGGAGGUUGCUUUUGUGAACAGACUGUAAUCUGUUUUUGAUUGAGUAUACUCCAGAGACAGAAGCUUGGCGGAAAGUUUAUCGAACCAUUUUCUUGGGCUAUGCUUCAAACCAUAGAGGGACUUGAUGAGUUUGCAGACCAUAGUUGUAUGUGCAGGGGUGAGAGGAUGAUCGUAAUCAAUUCGGCUGCCAAGUCCCGUAUAUCCCUGUGGGAAUUUCAUGUACACCGUCUCUUGGAGGUCACCAUGCAAGAAUGCAUUGGUGACAUCCAUUUGAAUAACUAUCCAAUCUUGCAUUGCAGCAACUGCUAGUAAGGUUCUGACCGUCGUGAGUUUAGCAACGGGAGCAAACGUCUCUAGAUAAUCAAUACCAUAUAUCUGUUUGCAGCCAAGAAUAACCAAUCUCGCCUUGUACCUUUCGAUUGUUCCAUCAGGAUUGAACUUUGUUUUGAAAACCCAUUUGCAGCCUAUAGCUUUUUUGUUUGGAGGCAAAGUUGUGAUCUCCCAUGUUUUGUUGUCUUCAAGAGCGGUCAAUUCUUUGUUCAUUGCAUCUAUCCAACACUUGUGCUGAGCUGCUUGUUUGAAUGACAUAGGAUCUGCUGCAUGUUCCAAAGAUGCCAGAAAACAGUUGAAUUGAGGUUUGACAUAAUGAUCAGCUAUCUGAGCUAUGUUGGCAGAAGUAGACAAUGAGUGACUGUAAUCAUUAAGCCAUCCAGGAGGUUUACUUAUUCUGGAGGACCUUCUGAGGUCAUUGUUAGGAGGUGGAGGAUCAUUGGUUUGGUUUGAGGAGGGCUCAGGGUUGGUUUCAAGUUCUGGAAUAUCAAGGUCAUCAAAGUCUGGUGUUGGAACAGAAGGAGGCAUAGGACAAGGUGUAGGUUCCAGAUAAGUGUUUGAGGAUGGGUUAUUAAAAGGAAAAAUAUUUUCUUGAAAGGUUACAUCUCUGGAAUUGAAGGUUUUCAUUGUGGUUAAAUUUAGUAGUUUGUAGCCUUUGGUACUAGUGGAGGUGGGGUAUCCAAGCAAGACACAUGGAACUCCCCUUGGCUGGAAUUUGUCUGUAGAUUGAUCAGGGUUCGAGGCUAGAGCUAGGCAUCCAAAUGUUCUCAAGUGGUCGUAUUCAGCUGGUAUAUUGUGUAGGACCUCAAAUGGUAUUUUGAAGUUUAAGGUUCUAGUUGGCAGUCUAUUAAUCAAGUGCACAGCUGUCAUAACAAAAUCACCCCAGUAGGAUAAUGGUAACCCGGAUUGAAACCUCAAACUUCUAGCUACUUCAAGAACGUGUCUAUGUUUUCUUUCGACCCGAGCAUUCUGUUGGGGUCGAUUGACACAAGUCUUUUGAUGAACAAUCCCAUUUUCAACAUAAAACUUUUUACACUUAUCAUCCGAGAAUUCAGGGGCAUUAUCAGAACGCAAACAUUUGAUUUUAGCAGUGAAAUGCGUGUACACAUAAUUGUAGAAGGCUUGAAAGCAGUCUAUGAAGUCAGAUUUCUGUUUCAUCAAGUAUAACCAGGUGACUCUAGACAUAUCAUCUACGACAGUGAGAAAAUAUCUGAAAUGACCUCGAGUACACACACGAUAUGGACCCCAAGUAUCUAUGUGCACUAAAUCAAAUGCAUUACUAGCGUGGGAAGUGCUCAGAACAUAAGGUAAUUUUGAAAAUUUUGCCAUAGGGCAAGUAAUGCACACCUGAUUGUUGCCGGUGAGAGAAGAACUCAGUUGAGGAAUGUGCCCAAUAGUAGACAUUGCGGCGUGUCCAAGCCUCAAGUGCCAGGUGCUGGAAGUCACAGUAACAGAGUUACAGCUUGCUCCAACAGCAUCAGUGAGGUAGUAUAAACCAGAGUUAAUGUGUCCUGUGGCCUGGACUUCUGCAGUGCCAGCUUUUAGAAUUUCGCAAGUAAAAGGUGUGAACCUCACAUCACACUUGUUGUCCUUUGCCAAUUUAUGAAUUGACAAGAGGUUGUGCUGAAACUGUGGCACUACAAGCACAUUGUGUAAGAUCAAUCCACACUUAAGCUUUACAUCUCCCACAUGUGUUAUGUGUGACACAUCUCCAGUUGGGAGGUUAAUUGUCAAGUUUUUAGCUGCAGGCUUGACAUUAACCAAGAGAUUUACAUCAGCUGUCAUAUGGUCACUCGCCCCUGAGUCGACAAUCCAAGUCCCCUUGUCUGCUACUGCUAAAUUGCACGCCACCAUUCUAGAGAAGGCAUGAUCAAGUUCCUCAUCAGAUUCCGAGCCCUUAAAUGCCUGUACAGCAUUUUGUGGCAUAUAUUUCAACAAGUGUUCAAGUUGUUGAGGGCUGAAAACAAUUUCCUCUGUCUGAGUGUUUUGGACAUCAUUAUUUGCCAUUCUUGGAGGCCUAUAUCUGUUGCCUUGUGGUCUGCCAGUAGCCACAUUGUUGUUUUGGCCUCUGUUGUUACCUGGUGGUCUAUAUUUAAAAUGUCAUUUUGGGUAUCCAACUUUAGACCAACAUUUGUCAGUUUGGUGCCCUUUGCCCCCACAUUCAGCACAACCCAUCCUGCCCUGGCUAGCACUGGUAUGAGGCCCUGUAGUAUUCAUUGCAGAAAAUUCAACAUCUAAAUUUUGCAAGACAUCGAUCUGUGAUUCUUCUUGUUGUAUCACAGCGCACGCAGCUUCAACAGGAGGUAAGGGAUGACGCAUUAGCAAUUGACUGCGCAAUGAACUAUAGGCAUCGUCUAGUCCAUUCAAGAACACAAAAAGUUUUGCCUCUUCUCUCUGGGUGUUUAUAGCUUUUAACAAGGCUGAAAUCUCAGGCGUGACAGUGGUUAUAGGAGGCAAAGUAUUCAUGGAGUCAAUUUCUUCCCAGAUACUACUGAGUGUUGUGAAAUACUCAGUUAUCUUUGUCUUAUUCUGCUUAAGACUAAACAGAUCUUUGUUUAGCUUAUACUUGCGAGAGCCAUUACUUAACUGAAACCUUUUCUCUAAGUGUUUCCAGAUCUCAUGAGCAGAGUUGAUAAACAGAAUAGAUUGGCGUAUAGUAUCAGAUACAUUAUUAUGUAUCCAAGAAAUGACCAAAUCAUUACAAGUAUCCCAUUGCAUACCUUGAGUUUCAUCAGUGGUGUUUCGGAGGACUGUCCCAUUGACAAAUCCGAGCUUUCUCUUUGAAGAAAGUUGAAUCUCCAAGGAACGUUUCCAGCUUCGAUAAUCGCUAGCACCCUGUAGUUUCGUGACACUGACUGACGUAGGCCCAUCGGAAGGGUGUAAAAAUAAGGGAUUUUGCAUUUCUGCAAAGUUGUUUCUUCCCCCAUUCGCCAUGACUUGUGUUUACAAACUCAGAAAGGUGUUAUUUGCAGAGAAAAGAUUUUUGAGGGAGAAUGAAUAAGAUUUGAGAGAGGUGGAAAAGAUGUUGCAUUCACAGCUCUGAUACCAUGAUGAUUAAAUGAAAAAGAUGAAUGCACAGAAAUAAUGGUGAUGAAACUAGAGACAACUUUCCAGACUCUUUUGCUCAAAGCAUAUUGUUUUCAUUCUGAAUAACUAUGGUGCAUACUCCUCAGCUAUAUGCUGAUAGGAUGGAAUCUUUUCCUAACAACCUUGUACUACUACUUCCAUAAUUGCCUUUAACAGAUGGCAUAAUACUAGAGUCCAGACAAAAUAACAUAACAGCUAGAGAAAGGAAAAGACAAUGACAAUAACGGUAAAUAAAGUGCUGCAGAUAGGUGGCUGACUAGGCAUUCUGUGGACCCUUCCUUCAUUACUCCCCUUCAAGCUGAGCUGAAGUUUUGACAGAAGCUCCAAGCUUGUGUAGAAGACUAUAAUGCUGUUUAACAGAGAGAGGUUUGGUGAGCACAUCAGCAAUCUGCGAAUGAGAUGGAACAUAGUGUGUAACAAUUGCUCCAGAUUGAACCUUGUCUCGAAUGUAAUGGCAGUCUAUCUCAACGUGCUUUGUGCGUUCAUGGAGCACAGGGUUUGCAGCAAUUGAGAUAGCUGCCAUGUUGUCACAUUGAAGAACAGUUGGUGGCAAGUUUGUGAGUCCCAUAUCUUGCAACAGAGCCGUAAUCCAAGUAAUUUCGCAAGCAGUGAGAGCCAUGGCUCUGUACUCCGCCUCAGCAGUGGACCUUGCAACUAUGUUUUGCUUUUUCGAUUUCCAAGACACAGGAGAAUGUCCCAGAAAAAUACAGAAGCCUGUUGUUGACCUUCGAGUGUUUGGGCAGCUAGCCCAAUCACUAUCGCAAUAAGCCUGGACUUGUGCUGCAGAUGAGGAUGCUAGAAGUAUACCUUGCCCUGGAUUGCUUAGUAAAUACCUUAAAAUUCGUUUGCCAGCCUGCAUAUGAACUGUGGUGGGGCUUUGCAUAUAUUGACUCAACACAUGGACAGGGAAUGUGAUGUCAGGCCUCGUGAUAGUUAAGUAAAUAAGCUUGCCGAUGAGCCUCUGAUAGGUGUAUGGAUCAGUCAAAAGAUCGCCCUUUGUAUGACCUAACUUAAGAUGAAUAUCCAUAGGCAACUUCAGAGGAGUGGCAUUGUGCAUGCCAAACUCAGUUAAGAGAUCUUUGGUGUACUUCUUUUGAGACAGAAAGAAGCCUGCAUCUGAUCUUUCUAUUUCAAUGCCCAGAAAAUAGCUUACAUCUCCGAGAUCUUUCAUGUGAAAAGAACCAGACAAGUAUGUCUUCAGGUUAAGAAUGGCUUCAUUUGAAUUGCCGGCAAUGAGAAGGUCAUCAACAUACACCAAGAUAAGUGUGAUUGAGUUGGAGGUUGCUUUUGUGAACAGACUGUAAUCUGUUUUUGAUUGAGUAUACUCCAGAGACAGAAGCUUGGCGGAAAGUUUAUCAAACCAUUUUCUUGGGCUUUGCUUCAAACCAUAGAGGGACUUGAUGAGUUUGCAGACCAUAUUUGUAUGUGCAGGGGUGAGAGGAUGAUCGUAAUCAAUUCGGCUGCCAAGUCCCGUAUAUCCCUGUGGGAAUUUCAUGUACACCGUCUCUUGGAGGUCACCAUGCAAGAAUGCAUUGGUGACAUCCAUUUGAAUAACUAUCCAAUCUUGCAUUGCAGCAACUGCUAGUAAGGUUCUGACCGUCGUGAGUUUAGCAACGGGAGCAAACGUCUCUAGAUAAUCAAUACCAUAUAUCUGUUUGCAGCCAAGAAUAACCAAUCUCGCCUUGUACCUUUCGAUUGUUCCAUCAGGAUUGAACUUUGUUUUGAAAACCCAUUUGCAGCCUAUAGCUUUUUUGUUUGGAGGCAAAGUUGUGAUCUCCCAUGUUUUGUUGUCUUCAAGAGCGGUCAAUUCUUUGUUCAUUGCAUCUAUCCAACACUUGUGCUGAGCUGCUUGUUUGAAUGACAUAGGAUCUGCUGCAUGUUCCAAAGAUGCCAGAAAACAGUUGAAUUGAGGUUUGACAUAAUGAUCAGCUAUCUGAGCUAUGUUGGCAGAAGUAGACAAUGAGUGACUGUAAUCAUUAAGCCAUCCAGGAGGUUUACUUAUUCUGGAGGACCUUCUGAGGUCAUUGUUAGGAGGUGGAGGAUCAUUGGUUUGGUUUGAGGAGGGCUCAGGGUUGGUUUCAAGUUCUGGAAUAUCAAGGUCAUCAAAGUCUGGUGUUGGAACAGAAGGAGGCAUAGGACAAGGUGUAGGUUCCAGAUAAGUGUUUGAGGAUGGGUUAUUAAAAGGAAAAAUAUUUUCUUGAAAGGUUACAUCUCUGGAAUUGAAGGUUUUCAUUGUGGUUAAAUUUAGUAGUUUGUAGCCUUUGGUACUAGUGGAGGUGGGGUAUCCAAGCAAGACACAUGGAACUCCCCUUGGCUGGAAUUUGUCUGUAGAUUGAUCAGGGUUCGAGGCUAGAGCUAGGCAUCCAAAUGUUCUCAAGUGGUCGUAUUCAGCUGGUAUAUUGUGUAGGACCUCAAAUGGUAUUUUGAAGUUUAAGGUUCUAGUUGGCAGUCUAUUAAUCAAGUGCACAGCUGUCAUAACAAAAUCACCCCAGUAGGAUAAUGGUAACCCGGAUUGAAACCUCAAACUUCUAGCUACUUCAAGAACGUGUCUAUGUUUUCUUUCGACCCGAGCAUUCUGUUGGGGUCGAUUGACACAAGUCUUUUGAUGAACAAUCCCAUUUUCAACAUAAAACUUUUUACACUUAUCAUCCGAGAAUUCAGGGGCAUUAUCAGAACGCAAACAUUUGAUUUUAGCAGUGAAAUGCGUGUACACAUAAUUGUAGAAGGCUUGAAAGCAGUCUAUGAAGUCAGAUUUCUGUUUCAUCAAGUAUAACCAGGUGACUCUAGACAUAUCAUCUACGACAGUGAGAAAAUAUCUGAAAUGACCUCGAGUACACACACGAUAUGGACCCCAAGUAUCUAUGUGCACUAAAUCAAAUGCAUUACUAGCGUGGGAAGUGCUCAGAACAUAAGGUAAUUUUGAAAAUUUUGCCAUAGGGCAAGUAAUGCACACCUGAUUGUUGCCGGUGAGAGAAGAACUCAGUUGAGGAAUGUGCCCAAUAGUAGACAUUGCGGCGUGUCCAAGCCUCAAGUGCCAGGUGCUGGAAGUCACAGUAACAGAGUUACAGCUUGCUCCAACAGCAUCAGUGAGGUAGUAUAAACCAGAGUUAAUGUGUCCUGUGGCCUGGACUUCUGCAGUGCCAGCUUUUAGAAUUUCGCAAGUAAAAGGUGUGAACCUCACAUCACACUUGUUGUCCUUUGCCAAUUUAUGAAUUGACAAGAGGUUGUGCUGAAACUGUGGCACUACAAGCACAUUGUGUAAGAUCAAUCCACACUUAAGCUUUACAUCUCCCACAUGUGUUAUGUGUGACACAUCUCCAGUUGGGAGGUUAAUUGUCAAGUUUUUAGCUGCAGGCUUGACAUUAACCAAGAGAUUUACAUCAGCUGUCAUAUGGUCACUCGCCCCUGAGUCGACAAUCCAAGUCCCCUUGUCUGCUACUGCUAAAUUGCACGCCACCAUUCUAGAGAAGGCAUGAUCAAGUUCCUCAUCAGAUUCCGAGCCCUUAAAUGCCUGUACAGCAUUUUGUGGCAUAUAUUUCAACAAGUGUUCAAGUUGUUGAGGGCUGAAAACAAUUUCCUCUGUCUGAGUGUUUUGGACAUCAUUAUUUGCCAUUCUUGGAGGCCUAUAUCUGUUGCCUUGUGGUCUGCCAGUAGCCACAUUGUUGUUUUGGCCUCUGUUGUUACCUGGUGGUCUAUAUUUAAAAUGUCAUUUUGGGUAUCCAACUUUAGACCAACAUUUGUCAGUUUGGUGCCCUUUGCCCCCACAUUCAGCACAACCCAUCCUGCCCUGGCUAGCACUGGUAUGAGGCCCUGUAGUAUUCAUUGCAGAAAAUUCAACAUCUAAAUUUUGCAAGACAUCGAUCUGUGAUUCUUCUUGUUGUAUCACAGCGCACGCAGCUUCAACAGGAGGUAAGGGAUGACGCAUUAGCAAUUGACUGCGCAAUGAACUAUAGGCAUCGUCUAGUCCAUUCAAGAACACAAAAAGUUUUGCCUCUUCUCUCUGGGUGUUUNGUUAACAAGCUUUGAGAAAGAUUCUACUUUAACCGAGUAAUGGGAGGGAGGGGCAUCUCUAUGAUAUCUAACGAUUCCUGUGACAAGAAUUUAAAGUACACUAUUGAGAUUUGCAUAAUAACAUGAAGACACGUAUUUACACUUUCAAAAGUACUAAUUUAUUUGAGCAUACGAACCUUCAUCAGUGUAAUUAUACGCAAUAGGAUUUAAGGUUCGUUCAUCUUCCAUAUCAGCUGGCUAGCUCUGCGCAUGCAAGUUCGACUCUCUGUUUAUGCUGUUAUAUAUGGAAGUAUCCAAUUUUUUUUUGGUAGUCAUAAAAAGAAGAAGCCUUUCAAUAUUUGGCAUGCAUAUAGAUUGCUGCGAACUAUUCGUAUUCCCGAGGCCUAAAUUUAUUAGUCCAAAAAGAGCAGCUACCAGCUGGCUCAGCUAGCAGUGUUGUAAAAAGCGCAUUAAGCGGCCGCUUAAGCGGAAUCGGCUCUAAAGCGUUUCGAUUUUAUACUAAGCGGGAGAUUAAACGUUUUUGAAAAUUAAGCAGACAAUUAAGCGGAUUAAGCGGUCAAAAUGAUGUUGACUUGCUAAUUUAAAAAAAAAAUAAUUUUGAAAUAUUAAUUUUUUAAUAAUAUAACUAUAAUUAUAUUAUAAAAUUAAAAAAAUAUAUUUUAUCAAAAAUAUUAAAAAUGUAUAUUCUUAACACAACAUAAUAUUACUUUUAAAUAUAUUAAUAUUAUAAUUAAAUAUUUAAUUAUAUUUAAUUAAUCCGCUUAUUGACCCGCUUAAAAUUCCUCUUAAGCGUCCGCUUUACCGCUUAAGCGCUAGAAAGUCCUCCUGCCGCAAAAAAAAAAUAAUUUUGAAAUAUUAAUUUUUUAAUAAUAUAACUAUAAUUAUAUUAUAAAAUUAAAAAAAUAUAUUUUAUCAAAAAUAUUAAAAAUGUAUAUUCUUAACACAACAUAAUAUUACUUUUAAAUAUAUUAAUAUUAUAAUUAAAUAUUUAAUUAUAUUUAAUUAAUCCGCUUAUUGACCCGCUUAAAAUUCCUCUUAAGCGUCCGCUUUACCGCUUAAGCGCUAGAAAGUCCUCCUGCCGCUUAGAUACGACGAUUUGCGCUUUUAACAACACUGCAGUUAGGAUAUCAUGUUCUAUGCUUCGACUUCAGAAGUGUCAAAUAAUGAAAACCUAGAAUAUAGAGGGACAGAGGGAUUAUUAAAUAUUAGGAUUUUGUGUGGACAAGUUUAAAAAAAAUGACUUAUUACUUAAAGUAAAGUAAAAAGUGGAUUAGUAGUAAAAAAUAAAUAAGUUCAUAAAGUAUUUGGAAAAAAAAAACUCUGAAAAAAAUACUAGCAUUCUCAAUUUAUUAAAAAUAUUUUUACUUAUUUAGAUAAACAGUUCAAAGUUAAAAAUACUUUUAAAAGUAUUUAUUUAUACAAACGAAUAAAAAAGGUAGGAGAAGUUAGAAACGAUUUCAGCUUGUCUUAAACAAAGUGACGACUGACGCGCUUAAGCCUUUGCGGCUACAUCCCCAGGUAAAAAGAAUCUAAAACGGUACCACGUGUAUAACCACUAGCAUUAACAGAGCUGAUUCAUUUUCUUCUUGAAAGCAACAAAAUUUAAAGACGAAGGCACGUAAAUACAACAAGGCAGUGCAUAUCCAAACCAUGAAUAUUUUCAAAAUAAGAAACCUUGGUUGGUGUUCAUCUUCCCAUCUUCCACUCUUCUGUGUUUGUGGUUAUAUAUACAGUACACAUAAGCCAUUAAUAUGUAUGACGAAGCGCACAGAUUAUACCUAACUAACAAUUCGAAUUUCCGAGGCUAGUUCAUCCUUGGCUCCCAGCUGGUUAAUCCAUGGCUCAUUCCAAUUUUCACUUCUUCGAUAUUGCAUUAUAUGAUUUUAAACAAGUGUUUAAUAUAUAAGUUAAGCAUGAAGAAAUAAAAGUUACUUGGUUGUUCAUCGUCUACUUACAAUAAACAUUCAAUGAUAGAAUUUUAAUAUUGCCUAAAAGAAUUACAAAUAUCUCGUCAAACUUCACUCCAUUUCUAAGAGAAACUAGAGACUUCUGUCAUAAUCUUAACCUUCGCUUGUAGCUCUAUGGUGUCAUCCACUAUGAAGCCGUUCCCUUCUCGUGCAAGUUCACUCAACGACAUGAAACUUAUCACACCCCAGGUACUAAAGUGAUUCGUGGGAUUAGUCCUGAUGAACCAUCUUUUUUCACCUGAAAUAAGAAUUAAUCUAGUUAGAUAAUUCAUCGGACAAUCAUAGCACUUGAUUCUUCUUGCUUAGGCUUUAGCAUUGCUGUUAAAUCAUAAAACAUACUUGUGCUUUGACGAUCCCAACUGAAUAUUUGAUUCUUCCACAGCAAGGAGAACUCUGCAAACACUUUCUUCCAAGAUGGAGGACUCUCAACCAAUCGUAAAAACAAAGACAUGUGAUCUUUGAUUCUGGAAUCCCCAUUGGGAUAAAGAAGUAAACUAAACACCUUAAUUGUGAAACAGAAGAAAGGAAAAUUCAGCAUUCAUUUCUUUACAGUUUUUUUACACGACUCGACACGUUAAGACUUUUAUAAAACAUAAUUCCGCAAGUUAUCUUUGGGAUAUUUUUUUUUAUAUAAAAAUUCAAACAUCAAAUUUUUAUUCAAAAGAAAAAAAAUUAAAAACCAAGUUACGAAAAUAUGUUUUCUGGGAAUAUAGAAUGCAUGCCAAACUCUCGUCCGUUAAGAUAAACUACCUAGGGGGCAGAUGGAGUAAUUCAUAAUAAUUGAUUAUUUUAUUAAUAAUUUAGUACCCGAUAGAUUAUAAAUACAACAAAUAUAUCCAAAUACAAAAGUUAAAAAUUAUUUUUCACUAAUAAAUAAUUUCUUAUUUAUAACUAAUACUAAUUAAAAACAAAUUUAUAAAUUUUUUUAAGUUAAAGACAAACUAAAAUUUAGAUGAGCCAAGCUAAUUAGUUUGGAUGCAAAUGAAUAACACGAGAACUUACCACUUGCUUUCGCCACAUGUGAAUUUCUCUGACGCAAGGCUUUGCGGGUGAACUUUCUCUCGGCGAAUUCCGGAGAACUCACAGAUUUUCCAAUCGAAAGUGGCUUCGACAGGAUCGUCAAUUAUUUUUAUAGUCUCACCAAUUCCAGUAUUUUUAACUUCAAAUACUUCGACACCAAAUAUACAAGAAUCAUCAAUCAGAUAACCAUUUGUUGCAUCAUUGAAAGUCUCUAAUGAUAUCAAUCUGUCAAAACCCCUUUCUUUCUUUGCCUGAUGAAACCGGCGAAUUUGAUGCACAGGGUCAUCUUCACAAAGAACACACAAACUAAUUAAUUAUCAUGCGAAGAUCAAAACAAAUAAAAAUCAUAAUAAAAUCUUUAACAUAAACACACCUUGGAUUGUCAAGUACUGAUCCUUGUUGCGAUCAAAAACAAACAUCUUAUAAGUUACAUAAGCCUCCCAACCAAGAGGAAGUGAGUCUGUCUCCUCUAUUACUAAGUAAAGCGAUAUAUGUCCUCCACCACCUCUUCUUGCGUUUCCAUUCGGGUAUAAAACUAACCGCCUACAACAAAGUUUAAUAACCAUAUAAAUAAUCAAUUACUAAUGAUUUAAUUAACGGAGAAAAAAUGAGACUAGUACCAUGUGUAACCGUUAGCAUCAAACGUAGCAGAUUCAUAUUUUUCAUCCCCUCCGUCAACAAGCUUUGAGAAAGAUUCAACUUUAAGCGAGUAAUGAGCGGGAGGGGCAUCUCUUAGAUAUCUUACAACUCCUGCUACAAGAAAUGAGAGUACCCUUCUGAGAUAUAUAUACCAAAAUAUUCAUAUCGAAAGUACAAAACAUCUAAAUAAAAAAACCUUGGUUGGUGUUAUCUGGAACCGGAUUGAAAGUUCGUUCAUCUUCCAUAUUUUUACUCUGCUCACUCGAGUAGUAUUUGAUGAUGGCACUCUCUAUUAAUAUACGACUAUACGAGGCAUUUUCUUGCAAUCAUACAAAGAAGAGCUAGCCUUUCCAUAUACAUUGUUCCGAACUGUUUGUAUUCCCGAGGCAUAGAUGCAACCCCCGAGCAAGAGCGGCGGCCAGCUGCUCCAUUCAGGAUUUUGUAUCGACUGAGAGCAAGUCCAACAGUGUCUUAGUUAGUUGAAGCCCUAAAUAUAAUAUAAAAAAUUAUGUCCUAGUAGUUUAGGACAUAUUCAACCAACUUCAACUCCAACAAUGUGCCUUAUUUUCUCUAUUUGUUUAAUAUUUUAUUAUUAAAAGUUCACUUUCAUCAUUAAAACAUAAUAUAAAGUAGAGAGAGAAAGAGGGUGUAGAUAGAAAUUUAUUAUAAAAUAUGGGAUAGGGCAGGGAGAGAGAGUGCCUCAAAAAUAGGGCUUGAAGGAGUUGUCCUAGUGAUAUAAGGCAUCACUAGGACAUUGUUGGAGCAGUCUUUCUUAUCAAAUGCCUUAAAUUUUAACUUAGAACAACAAUUUGAGGCACUCUUGGACUUGCUCUGAUGUACACUUUAUGUUCUUCUGAAAAAUUAAUCAGUUUUAUAAUUUUUCAAUUAAUUAGAUAAUCAGUGUAGGUUGAUUGAUUAAUAUAUUUGAUGCAUUUUGGACUUAUGUGUUGUAUUUUUAUGAUUACAUUUUUUUUUUUACAUUUUAGUCAUAAUAUUAGUAUUUUUGUGUGAAAUCGGAUUAAUUUAAUCUAUCAUCAUUUUUUAUCGUAAAAAUAUUAGAUUGUAAUAAAUGGAUUGUAGCAUAGUUACUUCAGUUGAAGUAAAUUCUAUAAAUAUUCAGCUUAUCAAAAAAAAAAAAAAAUCACAUUUUUGGUAUACAUGUGUGAUGUAUUCAAUAUUUUGAUCACGGCGAAAGUAUUAUUCUAGAAUAAUACAUGUGUAUGUUAAUUAAUGACCAAACCGGAUUUGAAAAAUAUGCAAACCACAUAUUAGUAGUGAGUUCAAUAUUCUUUAUACAAAUUAAAAUUGGAAUUAACAAGCUAAACUUCACCUAAACUGUCUUACAGACCAACAAUUAUAAAUAUAUUUAUAAAGAAAAUAUUAAUAGAUCAAACUAAAAAUAAAUUUAUCACUUAUAAUAAAAGCUCGAUCUUGUAAAAAAAAUAACUUAAUUAUAUUAUUUUAUUUUGCAUUAAGUUAGUACAUAUCUAUUUUUUCGGAUAAUCUAAUAUAUAUGAUAUUUAUAUAAUAUCUUAUGUUAUGUUAUUUAUUAGUUAGUUAAAAUUAUUAAAAAAAUAUGCAUGACAAUUUAAGUAUACAUUAUCAUAAUAAAUUAGAUUAAAAUAAAUCAAUAUUUAGAUCUUUCAGUUAAUUCUAAAUUUGCCAAAUAAUCGAUAGAAAAUAUCAACACAACGUACUGAAGAAUUAGGUAACAUCAUGCAUUUUUAAUUAUAUAUUUUUUUUUGAAAUAGAGCACCGAAUUUGAAGUCUUUUAAGAUAUCCUACCUCCGUCCCGUCGGAUUGUUUAUGUACACUGUUUGCACCAUUGUGAGGUCUUCGUAAAGUAUGGUUCUAUAAUAUAUUUUUAAAAUUUCUUUUUUUUUCUGAAUAAAUAUUUAAACGUCAAACUUUUUUUCAGGAUUUUUUUCAAAAAUAAAUAUAUAAUAUAAGUAUAUGUUAUAGGAGCCUUAAAAUGCGUGCCAAAAAUUAACGUAAAUAAAUUGGUGGGACGGAGGGAGUAUUGUUUUACAAAGGGUACCCACGUAUUGAAACACAAAAUUAUUAAAACCUCCACAGUAUAGAAAGACAAGAGUUUAAGAAAUCAUACUUCCACAUAUAAAUGAAAAAUAAAGCUUAUAUAACAUAUUUCUAACUCUUUUUUUUUAAUUAAGUGGAAUUUGCAGUUGUGGUCUUAAUCAUAGUCUUUGCUUGUACCAUUAUAUCGUCUUUUGGUUAGGAACUACCUACCACAACUUGUCGUAUCACCAAUAAUGUGAAUUAUACUCUAAGGAAAAAAAUUAUUUUGUAAAAUUUUAACCCGCAUGUAAUUCUCGUCAUUUAGGUGAACAAUAAUUAUAAAAAAAAAUAAAAAUUCACAAAAUAUAAUCAUUUGGAUUUUCAUAUAUGCAUCUCUAUCAUCCACAACAAAUCUAUAUUGAUAAAAUUCUUGAAUAUGCAUACAUAUAUUCUUAAGAACUUCUCCCUUCUCCUAAUUUGUCUAGGAUGAUAGAUAUCUUUCAUAAGAAAGCAUUUACAAAAUACAUUGAUAUUGUAACACCGAUUAAAAUAUGAAUAACAUUAUACUUUACUAUAAUGUAACAUAAAAUUAGAUAACAAAUUUCCAGCUCUUAAUUUCAAGAAAAAUUUGCAACUUCUGCCUUGAUCAUAACCUUUGCUUGUAUCAAUAAAUCGUCUUUUGGUUUUGAGCUAAUCGACUCGCUCUGAAGCUGUUUUAACAAGAUGAACUUCGACCAACCCAUAUCGCGAUUUGUCCCAUCACCACUUGACGGGUUAGUGCUGAACCAUACAGAAGCUGUGAAAAAGUAAUAAGUGUUAGAAAUUCAUAUACAAAUAUUUUUUUUCAUACAAUUUAACAUAUGACAUACCUUGUUGUUGUUGAUCGCAAAUUUGAUUUCUUAUCCCCAAUGAAAAUUCUGUUAACACUUUCUUUCCGGUUGGAGGUCCCUUAACCAACUCCAAAAAUAAAGAUACACAAUCUUUGCUUGUCGAAUCCCCAUUCGGAUAAAGCAUCAAACGCCUUGGUUUACCACAUGAAUAAUGGAGAAAUGUUCAGUGAAUCUUAAACAAGUCACGAGAGUAUAAUAAAGUAUACAUAUAUGGGUGCUAAUAGUUAUCGGAACCAGGAUUCAUAAAUAGCCAAAAUCUAAAAUGCAUAUUGUUAAAUCUGGCCAUCAUCAUGUAUGAAAUCAAAUACGUGAUAAUGUUUAACUGAAAAUCAUGGAUUAUAAGAAAAUCUAUUCAAGGAUCAGUCGGAACUUUAGCCUAGACUGACCCCCCUUAUUUUCGCCCUUGCUAAUGGUACAGUUUUAUUAUUAAACACAUGAACCACCUAAGUUUGCAUGCGCUUUACACAUAAAAGAAGAAUAUGAUCAUGUUUCAAUUUGUACUUGGAAUCGCAGGCUAGUAGAAAUUGUAGUACUAUCAUUACAUAAUGAAAAUAAGACAUACUAACCAUUUAUAUUUUCCGACUGCAAACUGAUCCGAAAAUUCUAUUCUGCCAUUAGGUUUUCGCUUGCAAAUUUUGGAAAACUUAUCGAUUUUCCACUCAAAGGUAACUUCUGUAGGUUCCACAAUAUUCAUUACCAAAGUCUCACCAUUUCCUGUAUAUUUAACUGGAAAAAUUUCAACACCAAAUAUACAAGAGUCAUCAAUAAGAUACCCAUUUGCUGCGACACUGAAAGUGUCUAAUGGUAUCAAUUUGUCAAAGCCGUUUUCUUUCUUCUCUCGGUGAAAUCGAACUUGUUGCGCCGGAUCACCUAAACAUAAUUACAGAGAUGAAUGACCAAGAACAACAAACAUUAAUUAAGUCUUCAAUACGAAUAUGAAACAUUUAUAUAUCCAUCUAUCUAUGAACACACAUUCACGCACUUUGAAUGGUCAAGUAUUUGUCCUUGUUGUGAUCAUAUAGAAAAAUUUUGUAAGUUGCAUAAGCCUCCCAACCAAGAGGAAGCGAUUCCGUCUUAUCGAUGACGAGAUACAAAGAAAUAUGCCCUUCAAUCCCUCUUUUUGUAUUUCCUUUUGGGUAAAUAACUAUCCUCCUACGAAGAACAAUAAAAACAUACUUAUUAUCAUGCACAUUGUCGCACUUGUAAACUAAAGUAAUUUUUCGAUGAAAUAAUCUUACCAUGUAUAACCGCCAACAUCAAAUGCAUCUGAUUCAUAUUUAUCGAUUCCCAGAUUCGUAAAACCUGAGAACGGUUCUAUUCUUAACGAGUAAUGAGCAGGUGGCGCAUCUCUAAGAAUUCUUAAAACACCUGGAAGUAUUUUUUUGCAAAACAUCACAUGCUUUGGUUACAUUUUGUUGAAGAUAUCUUCUAACAUUUUAUCCAAAUCUUGAAAUCAAUGCGUUGAUGAAUUAUGAAUGAAAAAACAACAAAAGACAUGAUUGAAAAUAAGAAUAACAAUGUGCAUGCAUCAAAAUUUUUGUAAUGCAAAACAACAAACCUUGAUCGUCAUUAGAAUCUGGAUUCACUUUUUUUUCUUUCUCCAUAUAUUGUACCAAAAAGUCGUUCUAUUCUUGUGUUUGUUGAAUAUUUUGCUUCCUGAUAUUAAAAUAUAUGUGUAAAUGUAUGUAUGCCUUUCUAAGAAUAGUUAAUUGAAGUUAUAAAUUAUAUUUGCUAGAUUAUGAUUAUAAUUACAGAGGUGGUGCCAUAAGAUGUAUACUGUGUUUUGUACUUCUAUCCCUCCUGGCCCAACAAAAGUUUGGGCCUAAAUCUUCCUUGAAUAUGGACCAAAACAUGACCAGAACUAACAUGUUCAUCUGGACUCUCCCCAAUUCUCUCAAAUCCUCUCUCUCUCUCUCCCUCUCAAUUUCUUUGUUUUUCAGACACCCCCUGUUGCAAUAAAAAUCCAAUAUUUUUCUCCGAAAUCCAUUUUCUUGAUCUAAUUUAACCCAAUUGUCCCAAAACCAAAAACCCAUCUUCAAUUCUUGUUAAACAGAGCUUUGCAACACUAUAAUCCUCGAACUGUCGAAGAAGUUUUUAGGGAUUUCAAGAGCCGUAGAGCUGGCAUGAUUAAAGCCCUCACCACUGGUAAUUCUGCUGUUUUCUUGACUUGUUUGUUGGAUUUCUUUAAAAAAGUUUCGAAAUUUGCUAAAUUUUUUUGUGGGUUUUGCAGAUGUUGCUGAAUUUUACCAGCAAUGUGACCCGGGUUAGUGAUGAUUAUGUUAUUGGUUGCUUAAUUUGCUUUUAUUUGAAUUUUUUGUGGAAUUAAUUAUAGUUUGUAAUUGUGUGAUGUAUACUGUUUAAUAAGUAAGUACAUGUUAUUAUGCUAUGUUAAGAAUUGCUGAUUAUACUUAAAACAGCUUUAACCCGAAAAGCAUGAUGUGUGUAAAGUGAAUAUGAAUGAUUCUAUUUUUUGGCAGUAAUUAAUAUGUACAUUGCAUGGGAAGGUUUGAAAAAAAUGAAAGUUUUAGUGAAUGGCAAAUCCGAAACCAUACAGACCAACACAUGAACAGAAGGAGAUUUUUUAAAGAUUAGUUUCUAUUUCGUUAGUUGUAAUGGAAGCCAAAAUAUGUUUGUUUAAGUGGAUGCCAUAUUCUAGCAGACCUUUUUAAAGUCUCUCCCAAACGAGGAGUGAAUAGUAUGUUUCUUAAGUGUUCCUAGUGACAUGUCUAAAUUGGAAUCAUGUUUUCUGUAUUUUGAACUUGUGCUCCUAGCUUCAUCUUUUGGUCAUUGAUAUAUUAUGGUCUAAGUCGCUCAGACUCGGGUACGGAGUGUCGGACACGACACAUAUCCGAGUGUCGGAUUCGGGACCUCUGAAAAUCUAGGACACGGGGACACCGUCCGAAUUUUAGACACGGGUGCGGGGACACAGCAUAAUAUAAUAAUAAAUUUUAUAAUACUUUUUUGCUCAUAUAUAGACUAUAGUCACUGCCAGUGGACAAAUUCCAAACUCCAGAUCCAUAUUUCAAGAAAAGAUGUUAAUACAAAGUUCAGCAGUAAGCCAGUAACAAAGAUAAUAACAUCAGAAAGAGUUCAGAAGUUAUAAAACUUAAACAAUCAUAAUAUCUUAAACACAAGAUAACAAGAUCAUCAAAAUCAUUGCUCUGCCUCUGCCUCUGUCUCCAGGUUUAAUUUAGACAUCAAAUGUAAUAGCUUCAAUUUCAGGAUCAUCCAAGGACAAAUCAGCAAUCUCCAAGAUGUUGUCACCAUCAAAAUUAUCCCCUCCUGUAAAACAAACAAAUAUAUAUUUAUUUAAAAUCUUAAAAACCUACUCAGAAGUCAGAAUAAAUUAAAUCUUUAAAAACCAAUAUAUAUUACCAACGUCCCAAUAUUUGCAUGGUCUAGAGGUAUAUUCUGGUUGCUUUCGGAGAUCAUCCGGAUGUUGUUGUGCACGUAGACCAGGUCUUCAGUUCUUUGUGUGGCCAGCUGAUUCCUUUUAACACUCUGAAUGCUACCAUAAGUGCUCCAAUUACGUUCACAACAGGAAGAUGAUGCCAGUUGUGAAAGUAAUUUAAAAGCAAGCCCUUGCAAUAACGGCGUAAAUGAGCCAUAAUUAGCCCACCACGACAUGUGAUCUUCUUCUCCCCUUGAUGCCAUCACAUGGGGCUGACUAAAGUACUCCAGUUCACAAGCAAAAGCUCCAUACUCUUUGGUUACUUUUUUAAGAUCUUCUGGCUUGUCAAAAAUCCUCCUAAGACAUGCCUCUCUAUUUAGAGAUAUCUCUUCAUCUUCGAUUGGUGCUACGCGACGAAUACCGCGACCACCCCCUUGAAGCCAUUCUUGAGUAUAGUAUUUGGGGACGAGAGAGUGUGCCAAACAAUGGAGCGGUGUGUUGCUUUUAUUCCAUCUGUCCUCUAUUAUCUUAUAGAUAGCAUCAAAAAAAGCUGAAUUUCCGGUUAACAAGUCUUCGUCUUCAUGAUCAAAAAUGCAGCUCCUAAUAUCUUCUAUCAUUGUAUCCCACAUAUCAUAGACUAAAUGCAAGAUACAUGAAUCUUUAUCGGCAACUCUUAAAAAUCUCAUCAUAGGCUCAGUAAACUUUAAAAAAUAGUCGAUUUUGUCCCACCAAGUAUCACUCACUAAGGUGUCCUUUAUUUCUCUAGAUUUUAACUCAAUAGCAUUUCUUAAAUUGCCUCUGAUUUGCUUCCAAUCAGGAUCCAUAACUGUUUUUUCCAAGGCCUCUUUUACUCGUCUCAUUCUUCUUAACAUUACAAUAUUAGACGCAAAUCUAGUUUCUGCUACUUUAAGCAACUUUACCUCUGAGUAUCUACCAAAUAUCAUCCUUGGCAAAGAAUGAUUCAAAAUGAAAUAAUUAAUUUCACGAACUUGAGUAACCAAUUCUUUUAUCCAGGCACAAUGAGGGUAGUAAUCAGAUUUCUCGCUAGGUUCACAAAUAUAUUUAAUAGCCAAAUUUAAAGAAUGUACCACACAUGGUGUCCAAAAAAUUCGAGGAUACUUGGUUUCAAUUAACGCACCUGCUGCCUUGUAAUUGGAGGCGUUAUCAGUGACUAUUUGGACAACAUGUUCUGGACCAAUCUCUUCCACGAUCUCCAUGAAUAGUGCAGCUAUAUAUUCAGCAUCUUUUACUUUAACUUGGCUAGCAUCAACUGAUUUUAAAAACAUUGGACCAGCAGCUGAUGCAACCAUUAUAUUGAUCAACGGUUUUUGCUGGCGAUCACACCACCCGUCUGAGCAUAUAGAUGCACCUUUCUUUUUCCAGCUAUCUUUGACAGGUUGAACAAGUCUCUGAACAUGUUGUUUCUGCUGUGACAAAAGUGUGGUGCGAAGACGGUUGUAUGUAGGAGGAGUGUAGCCUGCCACAUUUGAAUUGGCUAGUUUUAGAGAGUAACUUCGGAAGAAGGGAUUCCUUGCAAAGUUGAAGGAUAUGCCACUAGUAUAGAACAUCAUGGCACAAUCUUUAUCAAUUUCAUCUCGAUCAGCCACAUUAAAAGCGAGUUCCAAAGCUCCUUUUCUUUUCUUGGGUUGUACUAGAUCAGACCCUCCUUGAUAUGCCAUGUACUGGUUUCUUUGUCUCGCAUUCAUGGCUUCUUUUGCUACUUUUUCUUCGGCCCUCUUGUGCUCUGCUUCUAUUUGACGAUAAACAUCAUCUGAAAUUCCUUUGCAUGCUUCAACACCCAUGUUCGAUAUUUUCAGAAGAUGUGCUCUAACUUUUGUGUAAGAACCAGUCACUAUUUUAUUACAAUAUCUGCAUCUCCACUUUCUAUUACCACCACCACCGAUUGGAGCAUCCAAUACCUCGACAUGAAGCCAUAAAGGCUUGUCAUCUUUGCUUGGAUUCAAAAGUUUUUUAGAAGACAUGAUCGAAUAAUGAUCCUGAAGCAAGAAAGCUUAUGAAUUUAUAGAUGAGAUUUGAGGGACUAAUAAAAUUGAAUGGAACUAAUAGAAUAGAGUGCAGCUUUUAAUUCUCUCUGGAACCUAAAGAGUCACUGGACUUGGAAUUGAAAAAAUCAUAUUAUGUUUAUAACGGUGUAAAAAUGUAAAUGUCCUGGCCACGUAUGUAUUUUAUUUUUAUUUGUGAAUUUAAAUGUACUUAAAAUUUUCUAUUAAGGGUGUAAAUUUUUUGGUUAAGGGUGUAAAAAUCGAAAAUUGAUUCAAUUAAACUUAAUUGGGAAAUAAGUACUUACAAACUUUAUUAAUAAGUAUAAUUGAUUCAUAUUAUCGAAAUAAGUACUAGGAGAAAUAUUCGGAUAUUUUUUUAUAAUAUUAUUUUAGAUUAAAUUCACAUAUUAUAUUUUAAUGUACAACUAUAAAAUCACUACUUUCUUUAAUUUAUAAUUUAUAAUCUUUAUUAAUAAGUAAAAUGCCUUUUCGAAAUAAACCGUUUAAUAUAAUUAUCAAUUCUGGUUGAUAAUUAUAUUAGACUAUUAAAUAUUACUUGUAUGAAAGUUGGUGUUUGGCUCAAAUCAAACAUGAUUUGAAUGAUACUUAUACGAAAAUUAGUGUUUAGUUAAAAUCGGUGUGACUCGACUAGAAUCGGACCUUAUAAUCGAGUAUUAGACCAAGUUGAUCCGACAGGGUACUUGUUUUCGUCAUGUUACGUUACACCGUAUUUUGGUGUUUGGCUGAAAUCAAACUCGAUUUGAAUAAUAAUUACACUCAAAUUGGUGUAUGGUUUAAAUUGGCACAACUCGGCUAGAAUCACUAAUUAAAGUAACCACUAAAAAAAUUUCAAUGAAAUUAAUUUAAUUUCUUUCCUACUAUCUAGAUAGUAAAGACAAGCUAUAAAAUAGAAAAUAUGAUUUAUUACAAUUCAAGUGUUAUAAACUUCUUAAGAUCAUUUUAAACUAGCAUUUUAGUUUCAUAAUUUUUUUUAUUUAAUGGCUAUAUAAAAUUCAAACAAAUUUUCGAUAAUUUCAUAGUUAAUGUGACGUCCCGAACCUGGGGUUAGAGUUCUGGAGCCACUAACCAAAUUAAAACACAAAUCUAAAGUUUAUCUAGGAAAUAUAAUUAAGCUCACACGACAACCCCAACAACAGGAUCUUUAUCAGGUUAAGUAUGUCACAGGUUUACAACUUAUAACAGAAACAUAACAAGAUGUGGGACAAUCUCUACAUGAGAUUACACCAUAUCCCUCAAAACCAACCUACAGAAAUAUCUAGAUAAAGCCAGAAACCUAGUUUAGAUAUGACUCCAUCUGCCUGAAACUACUUGAGAGCUACUGAGCCAGAACGAAGAGCUAGAGGAACGUCCUGGGCUAAUCCUACGGCAAGAAGGGCGAUUGUGAUAUAUCUGAAAAGGGUUAGUAAUAAACAAAACAAGGGUGAGCUCAGGAAUGCUCAGCAAGUGCUAGAAUAUUCAAAUGUACGAUAAACAGUAAGAAAAUUGAGAUGUAAACAAAUCAGUAAGUAAAGCUGUAUAGUAAAACGAGUAUGGAAGCAGCAUAGUAAAACGUAACAGUUCAAAAAUAGUUUAAAAUCAACUACUAUCUGCUUUUCAAAUCAAGUUGAAGCCUCUGCUUCUAAAUCAAAAGCUUUUCAAAUCAAUUUGGAAGUAACCCUUCCUCUAAAAGCUUUUCAAUUCAAAUAGGAAGUCCCCCUUCCUUUAAAACCAAAAUCUCGAACCUGUUUACAUGUUGGAUUUAGAUAAGACGCAAUGGUCUGCGAAAGAUGAUCAGUCCUUCACAGGCCCCAACAAUACCUAAACACAUUAGAUAAUGUUGAACAAUAAUAUCCAUGGAUUCACAUAUACAACCAGAUCUGUUAAAACUUGGGACUGGCGCCUCAGCCACUUAUUAACCGUACCAAAUGCCUUACAAAGUUCGAGUAGUUUCCAGCUUUACAUUUCAAGAAAAAGGUUUAUUCCCUCAGAAGUAUACUUAUAACAUAUAAGCUUGAAAGGAACUAAACCGAGCUGUGAAAAUCAUUUAUAAAUAUUUUGAAACCAUGUGUACCAAUUUGGCAAAUUUAACCUUUCAAAUCAAAACCGUACUUAUAUCAUGCAUUUGAAAUAAGUAAAAGUUUUAAGGAAAGUACACUUGCCUGAGCUGAGCAAAAGACACAAGGUGUGGAAUACUACUACUGUCGGGAACCUACAUAAUUUAAAAGACUAGAUCUCAAUCGAGAGUCUUAUCUUCAAUAACCUCAACUAAUAGACUACCCUUCGUCACAUAAUAGUUUUACAUUAGCACGUAAUACCAAAUUUGAUCACAUAACACGUAAUCCUAAACUAAAGUUUUAAUAAAAUUUUGGCAGCAUUUCCCCUAUACAUAGAUCUCUACCAAAAUAACCAAACACAACAAUCAAGCCAAAAAUUCAAUCUCCAACCAAAAUGUGUCAACCAAACUCCAUUUCCCUUUCCUCCUUUUAUAAUAUUCGAGUACUCAUAAAUGAAUAUUAUUACCAUUGAAAAAUUAAAAUAUCAAAAUACUCCAUAAAUUCGAUUGUAACAUCUUAAUCAAUUUCCUUCUUUUAAAUUAACAAAAAUUCGAACAUAUAUAUAAUAUUAAUAAUUUGAAUUUUUCGAAUUAAUAUCAUAAAAUCGAAAUCAUGCAAAUUGAAAUUUAACUCUUAAAUUCAAAUAUAUAUUAGCCUCUAAUCACAACACAAUUACCACGUAAUCACAUAAAAAGGCUUAGCAAUUCCUCCUCUAUUUUUUUAUAAAAGCCGAUUAUAUACACAUAUAUAUAAGUAGUUUAAAUUUUGAAUUUAAAUAACCACACAAUCAAUAUUCCCUACAAAUGAUUCAAAAUCAAGUACCACAAUUAGAACAUCAUAAUUAAAAUUAAUUUGAUAAUAAUCUACUCAUACUUAUCAUUAAUCAUGUAUAUAAUCGCAUAGCCAUUCAAUCAAAACAUAAAUCAUAGAUCAAAAUAAAAAUAAAGAUAUUAAAGAAGAAGGUUCGAAUUUAUACCCCUUGAAAUCGGAAAUGCUUGAAAAUCACUUGCGGAAUUUGUCCUAAAUACUCCCCGCACACUUGAUUAGAUUUGCAAGGAAAAUGUGUGGUGGUUUUGGAAUUUUGUAAAAUAAAAGAAAGGAAAAGAAAAGAAAUGGGAGAGGGGAUCUGGAAAGGGAAGAGGGGAGAGAGCCGAGAGGGAGUGAGCAGAGAGGUGAGAGAGAGUGGAGUGGUGUGAGGUGUGUGUGUGUGUUUUUUUUUUUUUUUUUUUUAUAUACAACUAAGGACACUUGUCCUACAUGCAUCUCACCACAUGGGUGAGUCAUCCCCACAUUAAAUCUGGUUGUGACACUUGUCACUAAUGCAAAUUCUCAGCUUCCAAAAGAUGCCAAGUGUCCUUGGCUCGUGUUUUAUCAUAUUUCGUUUCGUUUUUAACGUAACAAUUACGAUAUGCAAUUUAUUCGAAAAAUCAUCUAAAAAUCACGAAACAUUUACCACAGCUAGAUAAUAUUAUUAAAAGCUUAUAAAUAAUUUUUCAGAAUUUUUAAAUCAUUUUUGGAUAUUUUACAAAUUUUGAAAGUUUAAUACAAAAAUAUUUCACAGAAAAUCCAAUUUUUAUCAAAACUAAUAUUUCAGAAUUUUUAAAAGUCUUAAAAAUAAUUAUUAACAUUAUGGAACCUUAAAACGAAUAUUUGAAAUUAUUUUUGUAUUCUUCAUAAUUCAUUCUCUAAAAUAUCAAUUUUCGGAAGUUCACAAAUAAUUAUUAUAUAAUUAAAACAAACUACCACAAAUGUAUUUAUCCACACAAACACAUACGAGUAACAUGUCAAGGUCACAUAACAUAAAAUUUUCACUCUUAACAAAUAAUCACAUAAUUAUCAUUUAUUAUUUAAUAAUAAUCUAGCACAAAAUUACGAGUUGUUAUAGUUAAAUAGUGAUAUGUAUACAUUAUUGUAACAGUUGAACAGUUGCCCAUGAUGGAACGUUUGUGUAACAUACGAUCAAUUUAUAGGGAAUUUUUUUGUGGCAAAAGAAUAAGAAUAAGAUCCCGGUCACUGCGUAAGUGUGGCCGUAGAGCAAGACUGUGGUAUUGAUAAGAUUUUUGUUUCUGUUCUGUUCUAAAUUCUGAUGCUUUUAAAAUAUAAACUGUGGGUUGGAUUUGCUUUUACAAGUGUUUUAAAAAUUAUUAUUGUUUUGAGGAACAAUGUUUUAUAAAAACACCCACUGAUUUCGAGAUUAAUUGUUGGUCAAAUUGUUACUUGCUGAGCUGUGUAGCUCAUCCCCUUUUACAGUUUUUCAGGUUUGAUUUAAGAGCGAGUUGAUGUGCAUUGGAUUUGGAGUUUGAGGAUAUUAGAUUCGGAGUAGAUUGACGUUUGGACUUCCGUUAGCUGCACUUUUGUAAUAGUUAUUUUUGUAAGAGGAUUAUUGAUUAAUAAAAUUGUGUUGUAUUUUAGUUUUGGAUUUAGUUUUUAAUAUUCCGAAAAGUCGGGAUGUUACAGUUUGGGUACGAUAUAAAACUUAAAUUGAGUAGGAAUAUUCCCAACAUAGACAUUCAAAAUUAUAAAAUACUUCAUUCUUCUUAUUUUAAUGGCUUUUGACUUUUUUACACGUAUUUUAAGAUGUUAGAAAAAUCAAAUCUAAAUAUAAUUAUUCUUUACAAAAUUUAUAUCGAAUAAAAGUUUACAAAAUAUUGUUUUUUAUAACUUAAAUGUUGAAAUUUUUUUAAUUAACAUUUUGACUUUAGUUGUAAUUUUAAAAUUAGUGCACAUUAUAUUUAAUUUUUAUCGUAAUAAAAGAAUAUUCAAAAAUUUGAUAAAAUAAAAAAGUGUGAACAUCCAAAAAUAAAACUAUCAUAAUACAAUUUUGUUGUCAUGAUCAAAGUUUCAUGGACUAUUGUCAAAAAAAAUUCAAAUAACAAAUAAAUUCUUUUAUUUUUUAAAAGAAGUAAACAACUAUUUUGAAUUAAGUUAAAUGUGGCAGUCUGGCAGAUAUGCGUGAUGUUUUGAGUCCAGCUGUGUUUUGAGUCUUUUGACUUUCACCAAAACCGAGGUAUCUUCUUCAUCUUCUCUAUUUAUCUCCUAUACGCAACGUUUCUUUUCUUCUUGGUUCCUUUCUUCUUGGUUCCUUUCUUCUUCUUUUCAUCAUUCUGUAUCCAAUCACAUCAAACGAAAAAUCAGUAUCAUAUGAAUCAUAAAUGUGUUGAUUCUCAACAAGAACCACGCGUGUUCUUGUGAAACGCUGCUCCCGGCGUCUCCGGUCGCGACCCCCGGCGUUCCUUGUAUCCAUGGCUGAAACAUCUUUUGUGUCUGUAAUUUUCUCGACGAGGAAGACGACGUGUCGGAAAUUCACAUGGCGGAUCCGGUACGUAUUCCGGAUCGUGUCCCGUGUCGUGUCGGGUCGACACGGGUACGGUCGCCGGAAGUGACGAGUCGAAGUAACGUAGAUUGUGGUACAUAAUUCCAUUGCAUUCUCUCUGACUGUUCACAAGGGUUUGAUAGGAGGGAAAAGUGAAAAAAGAGUGAGGAGGGUGUAAAAUUUUCAUGUGGGACUAAAUCAGUUCACAUCUAUUUGAAUAUAAGAGAGAGGAAUGAAGAUUUUGAGUGUCUACACAGUAUUAUUUCCGUUACUUCCAGCCAAUUGGAAAUCAUUAUACAAAAGUUUCUUUACGUUCUUUAUUAUGUUGUGUAAAUCUUCUCAUUUAGAAUUUGCAAGUUCUUGAAAUGUAUUCAUUGAUUUCUUUUUCCUUGGUUGAGUUAUAGAGGUGUAUGCUUACUCCAGUUUUUCUUAUCCAACCAUUGCUCAUCUUUCCCGGAUGAGUGAAUCUUUAUGCAUUUUACCUAUAAUUCAGCAUGUCUUUCACGAAUGCGUAAAGCAUUUGUUAUUCAUUCUGUUGAAAUUUUAUGAUUUGCAACACCAAUUUGUCUAUUAUUGUCUCUUAUUGAGUAACAGAGAAGGAAAAUCUCUGUCUCUAUGGUUUUUCUGAUGAACGAUGGGAGGUCAAUUUACCUGCUGAAGAGGUGCCCCCAGAGCUUCCAGAGCCCGCACUUGGUAUUAAUUUUGCUAGAGAUGGUAUGCAAGAAAAGGAUUGGCUAUCUCUGGUUGCUGUUCACAGUGAUGCAUGGUUGCUUGCUGUUGCAUUUUACUUUGGUGCUAGAUUUGGAUUUGAUAAAGCUGAUAGGUACAGUACUGUCUUCUUUGUUCUUGUAGCAAAUGAUUACUAGUUUGCUCUUAUGCAAAACUUACGACCAACAUGUUUGUAUACCUAAAUCUACACUUGUAUUUUGACAAAAUGCAUAGCUAAUAUGCUAAUAAAUGUUUCACCUAAACUUGCUUAACAUAUAUGUGACCAUAGCAUUAAAGAAUACUUGACUUUUCUUUUUUAUUGUCUUGUUUGUGCAUUUACAUGAUUAUGUCUUAAGUUGGAAACGUGGGCACUUUGUUGCCCAAGUUACAUAAGCAAACCACAUUCAACUUUUCUGUUUUUUAUGUUUGAUAGAUAACUAUUGACUGUUCUGACUGUAUUAUAGAAAGUAUAUAUGGAUGUAAAAUCAGUUUAAAGUAGCUUACACUUUUAUGGGUGUUCGACUUCUUUCUCUAAAGGUGUGUUCUUUGUGGAGUGUAACCCAAUAUAUAUAGGGUAGCACUCCAUAGCAUACCCACAUCACUAUAAAUAUAUACAUAAUACACAUAUUUUUUAUAAAUAUAAUUAUAAAUUUUAAUUAGUAAACCGAAGCCAAAAUUAUACAAUUUUUUAUUCCAAAAAUCAUUCAAAAUUAUGUAAUAUUCCAACAUGAUUCUACAGCAGAAUAAUAAUUAUCCAGAAUUAUUCUAUUAUAGAACCAGUUUCAAAAAUCAUUGUUUGGUUCAAAUUCUAAAUGUUAAAUUAUUUAUAAUAUAUUUAUCAUUAGUAUUCUAUAUUAGAAUCACAUGUUAUAUCUAUUCUAUCAUAGAAUUUGUAAUAGAAAUAAGAAUUUAUAAUGGUGUACUACGUAACUCCAUAUAAGGAGGUUCUUCACGGAAUGUUGGCCAAUUUAUAUAUUAUACUUUUAAAUAAAUCUUGAGCGUCAAUGGUACAUUUUCUGACCAGAUUAGAUAACAUAUGUCAUCUCUGUUUUGUCUGUAGAAUACUCUUGAUUACAUUCCUUAAUAGUGCUCAAAAUAUAAACAAAUAAUAUAUUUUACCGAAUUGGGAAGUAAUGAAGAAUUGAACACGUAGGUGAUUUCUAAUUUGUCUGUAGAAUACACUUGACUAUCUUCUUUCACUGUGCUUAACAUAUAAAAAAGGAUUCUAUUUUAUCGAAUUGGGAUGUAAAGAAGAAAUGAAGGAUCUGUCAUCACACGUGUCAUGAGGUCUACCAAAUUAAAUAUGUAUGCGAUUAAUUGGUAGUUGUUCAGUGCUGUUAAGAAACUGCUUUGUGCUUCUUAAAGGCAAAUUUGGUUUUAAUAGUAAUUAAUUUUCAGGAAGCGACUUUUCAACAUGAUAAAUGAUCUCCCAUCAAUAUAUGAAGUCGUUACAGAUGUUGCCAAGAAGCAAACAAAGGAGAAAUCGGCUGUGUCAAACCAUAGCAGCAACAAACCUAAGCCAAAUCCAAAGGUAGUAAACACAUCUACAUAGUACCUUCUCAAUUCUAACAUAUUUUGUAUAUGAUCGAGUAGGAUUAUGUAUAAUUGUGAGGUCUAAAAAGUGUUGUAUAUGCAGUGUUGUUUAAGGCACAAUUUCUUAAAAAGCGCAGGACCUAAUUUUGAAGCAAGACUCGCGAAGCGCCAUUUAUCGCGCGCUUUUUUGUCGAAAAAAUAAGAUCAUAAAUUUUAGCAUAAAUACAUAACUUAUUAAAUUCCUAAGUUUCAAACAUAGGCGAGCAUGUGUUAUAUAACAAAUGAUUAAUAAUAAAGCAUUAAUCAACAAUAUUCAAAAAUGCAAAAGCUUCAGAGUCAUUUAGUUUGAUUUCGGUCCUUCAAAGUUCGAAUUCUCGUUCUUCCUUCUCCUCAUUUAUUAAAAUUGAAGAAGGCCUGUGAGUUGCAUUUUGAGGUAGAUGUUCCACUUGUCAAGCGCUUUAUACGAUAAAGAGGUUCCUCAUCACCAAAAGCAAUAAAAACAUAUAUCACUCUGAAUUCUGAUAUGGUCUUCGCCUUUGCGGACACACACCAAACUUAAGCGCUUUUUAGUGCUUAAGCAAGAAGGCACGCUUCUUGAGCGCUUUUUUGCUAAUUUAAGAAUCACAUUAACUCGCUAAUAUUAAAAAUCGCACAUCUUGCACCUAAGCGCAAAGCGCCAUUAGUCGCGCUUUUAAUAACACUGUGUAUAUGUUUUUUAAAAGUAAUAUAUAAUAAAAGCACAUACCAAACUGGAAAACAAAUUAUUAUGAAGUGUAUAUCUAAGGAUGUUAGAGCAGGCGGUAACCAAAUUUGAUUUGCGUAUAACAAUUUGUGACAUUCAGCAAUAAUUGUGUACCCUAUGACCAAGCCCUAAAUUUGGUAAGGAUAUCUCUUCCCUCCAUAAACGGAAUAUGAGAGAGAUUAGGGUACUAAAAAUUGGCACAUUGGCAUCUUCCCCAGUUUCUACUGAUAAUAAAGUCUUGUUUUGAUGGUUAUGACAUAAAUCUCUGCGUUCAAUGUAUAUACUCAAACAUUAAAUUGCUGGCUUUUUAUUGCUUAUAUUAAAUUUAAUGUUCUGGAUGUAAUUUAGGUUCAUGAAGCACUGCUGGCUAUCUUUAUUUUCCAUGGCCAGUACUUGAUGCUCAUUCGCAUGUGUACAAAAGAAGCUCAUGCAUAUUAUUUUGUAUAAAUGUGAUAUUAUAUAUAGAGCAGGACCUUUAGAAUAGAUUAUUAUAAAACUAAUGGGACUAGUUGAAGUAAUGAGUCCCCCAAAUAUUGGGGGCUCAUUACUUCAAUUGAGAUAAUUUAGUUGGAACUUUACUUUUUAGUUGGAACUUUAGGUGGUUCUCUAAAAAAGAUAGCGAAAAAAAUUAUACCUAGAGUCGAGACUAAGAGGAAUGUAUAAACUAAUGCUUCCAUAGAUUCGAUCGUGGUUUACAAUUAUAGCUUCCAUACCUGUUGUUUAUUUUUAUUUAUGAUCAUCCUCCUGGAAAGAACAAGAGUAAAAAAAACAGCUAUUCAAAUAAAGAUUUCUCUGGCACCCUAUAGAUCUAGUAGAUCUAGAAAGGAAAGAAAAAAAUCACAAAAAGAAAAAUAGAGUCGAAAGACACCAAAGCAAUGAUGUUG